UCCCCCAAUCUUUUCCUUUCUAAUAAACUCAAUGGCCCGCCAAAUUGUUGUUCUUGCUUUGGUCACCAUGGCCCUCUUUGCCUUGGUUUCCACCGCUGCUGCGGCCACCGCCCCCGCACCCGGUGGCAGCCCCUCAGGUUCACCUGGAGAUGCUAGCUCCCCUCCUUCUCAGGCCAGUGCUCCUAGUCCCAGCAGCGGUGCUGCUCUUGAGCUCUCGGCUAUUGUUGGAGUUGGAGCAGCCGCCGUUGCUGGCUACUUUAUGUUCUAAAUACGAUAUGUAGGGGCCGCUUUCCUAGUUUUGAUAUCAUCACAAAUGCUGUCUUAUUAAUUAUGUUGAGAUUUGCAUAAUUUCUUUACGAAUAAAGAAAAGGAAUGGAUUGGUGCAUCUUAACAAGUGUUCUCUUUAUGUUUUGUUUGCUUUUAAUUUUUCCAAUGCCAAACCAUUAUAUUAUCACAAUCUCAUAAAUGUAUACCAACAACUUAAAAAACAAACAUAAAUAUUAAAAUAAUAAAUUUAUUUCAAAAUAUAUAUAAAUAAUAAAAUUUAGAUAACAUGAUUAAAUACCAGAAUUCGAUAAUGAUUUAAGGUACAAAAUUGAACAUGUUAAAUAUGGAUAACUCCGGAUAGUCCCUUUAUUGUAGAAACAUGAAAAAUAGAACCUCACCUUUUGUCAAGUUGAAAGGAACACAAAAAAGUUAAGAUUUUAUUUUAUUUUUCUUAAGCAUUCCAUCAUUUAGAAGUGGAGUUAAUGUUGUGGUUCGUGAAUAAUCUCUUUUCAUGAUUUUGUUUUUAAUGGAUGUAUUAAAUUGAAGUUAUGUGACAUACACCAAAAAAAAAAAAUUGAAGUUAUGUGAGGAUUCGGUAUAUGUGUUUUUAGUAUCUUUUUAUUUGUAGUAUAUUACAUUGAUAUCCAAAUCAAUUUUCGGUUCAACUACAGAUCUUGAACCUGCUUGACUUUUGUUUCUGUCUACUGUUACAAAUGGUUGUAAUUCUUUCCGUUAUGGUUCUUCAUGGUAUAUAUUUAUUGUUGCUUUGUAUGUAUGUAUGUAUCGUCGUUUCUAAUACUGCUAUUCUUCAUGUUCAUUAGAUUCUAACCAUGACCAUAUGCAUUAUUAUGUUCUAUUUCGUAUAUAGUAUAUUGAAAGGCACUGCCAUUUGUUUUUGAGUGACGUCUUACACCGGAAAGGCUUUAAUUGAACUGAUUUGUUUUUAGUUAAGACUUACAAUGCAAACGCAAGACAUUUUUGUUUGUCUUUAUUAUUGUUAUCUAUUCUUUAAACAGUGACCGAAUGCAUUCUUACUAUUUUCUUAUUAUAUGUUGAUGUAAGGAUCGAAAAGACAGAGGUUGUGAUGGUAUUAAUCGGUUGAUCCUGUUUAGGAAGGGACGGAAAGCCUAUGGCGGAGACGGGAGUACGGUGAAAACGAGGCUCUCCAUGGAGAAAGUAAUGAGAAAAAGAUGGAAAGGAGUGGAAGCCUCCCUUGUUGAACCUUCCUUCUCUCCUUUUUAUCCAUACGCUAGGUAAUGAUAGCUUAGCAUAUGUAGGAUGUCGUAGGGUUAUUCGGGAUGUGACCGGUGGACCUUUUGAUGAGACUUGAUAAAAUAAUAUUUUAUAUGUAUAACAGUUGUCUUCUAAAUUGAGGGAGAAGUUAUAGACAUUUAUUCAAGACACAAGUAUGGACAGAGCUUUUGCGUUGUGCGCUGCACACCUUUUUUUUUUUUACGAAUCUCAUACUGACGAGUUGUAAGAUCGUUUGUCUAUGAGCAUAUUUUUAGUACAUGAGUAAAGGGUCACUGAGGAGUGCCAAUUAUUAAAUUACACAUGUUUGAUAUUGUUAAAAGUGUAUAAAUAUACUUAUCGAGCAAUAUCUAUUUUGAAGUGUCUAUAACAACUCGUUUUUAGUAAAAUCAGAAUAGUAAUUUUAAGACCAUAAAUUUAAUGAGUAAAUUAUUAUUUUAAUAUCUAUAGAAUGCUAGUAAGGUCGUAUAAAAAUUUUGUUAAGAAAUUUUGAUGUUUGCAUGCUUAAUUAUGUAAAAAGGAUUAAAUCGUAAAAGGUGUAAAAGUAGAGUUCUAUUAGUUAAAGGUAUCAAUUAGCUAUGAAAUUUUAAAGUAAGGGGAUUUAUAUGGUAAUUAGACCAUUAUUAUUAUUAGUGGACAAAGAUGAACAUAAUAAUAAGUGAUUUUGAUGUUAUAAAUCAAGGUUAAAAUAGUAAUUUAAUAAAUAAAAUUAAUCAAAAUAAAAGUAAAAGAUGGUAUCAUCCAUAGUUGUCUUCUCCAUCGAAAUUUUAGGGUUAGAAAACACCAUUUUAAACCUUUGAAGUUUCAGCAAUGUCUAGCUUUUGCAUGAUGGUGUUUUGAGGUUAGUUUUUAACGACUUUAUGUUUUCGGUAUCAUUUGUAGUUUAACCUAGUUAGCCCAGGGAUUAAAUUACAAAACUAUUAAAGAUUAAGGGUUUUUCCAUGAAUGUUAUUGCAUGAUUCUUGAAGUUUAAUGGAGGAAUGUGAAUAAUUGUUGUUAAAUAAACAAGUUUUGUAAAGUGAUUUUGGAUGAAAAUGUCAUUUAGGGACUUAUUUGUAAAUGCAGUAAAAUUUCAUGGUAAAAUUAUAAAAUGCUAAUUUUAUAGGUUGGUAUAGGUCCCUAGUGAAUUAGGCUAGCAUGAAAUAAGGAUGAAAAUGCUUAGAUUUAAAUUUAUGAGCUUAAGGACUAAGUUGUAAAAAGUUAAAAUGUUAGAGGAAAAAUUUUAAUUUUACAAAAAAUGUGAAUUAUGGAUUGAAUUGAAUGUUUGAGAUUGAUUGAAACACUUAACUGAAUAUAAUUAUUUAUUUAGAUCAAGAUAAAUCUCAACCAGUUCUAAAUCGAGGAAAGGCGAAAAUCACGGAUUAGCUCGAUCAUAUUUCUACUAUCUAAUCGUCAAGAUAAGUUCAUAGUAUUUUAAUAUGUAAUUGAAUUUCUACUUGUAUUUCCAUAUUAUAGCUAUGUAAAGAGAUGCUUAUAGUUAAUUAUUCCCUAAAUUGCACAUAUAUACCCCUGUUUGUACUUCGGUACCCUUGAAUUGCACAUACAUUCCCCUAUUUACACUCUGGUAACUUUGAAUCGAGUAAAUUAUGAGUUGUAUUCAAUUGUUGUUAGGUUAAAUGAUAUACUAUGUCCUUACUAAGCUCUAUAAGCUUAUUCGUUCUUGUGGAUUAUUUUGUAGAUCGUUGUUGUUGACAUUUGAACGGAUCGAAUUUUCGGUUCACACUAUCCAUCGAUGUUGGUAGUUCUUGUGUCCCUUAGGGUAGUGGCAUGUAUAUGUGGCUAUUUGGGUUGUUUUGGUACUAUAUGAUAAUAUACUAAACUAAGUUGUUAAGUAUUUUUUCAAGAUUGUAAAUAGGUAUCCUUUUGAUACAAUUAGAAUGGUAUGAAAGUGAACACUCGUGGUUUGUUUUGCUUUAUGAAUGAAUUAAGUUGCUAUGCUAGGAAUGGAUUAAUGUUAUCAAGUUUUAGGUGUUAAUGAUGGAUAUAAUUGCGAUGUCUAGGAAAGGCACAUUGGUUGGUUAUUUUUAGAACAUUAAGAUGAUAUUGAACUAAACAUGUUUGUUUUAAAUAUGUUAAUGCAUAAGUUUAGGUAAGUUUGUAUUUUUUUUAGGGGCCUUAUAUAGCAUAUUGGUUGAAUACUUUUAGACUAGUGAAUUGUUCAUUUCAUGUUGGUUUUGGUCAUGUUAUGAGGCCUUGAUUAUGUCUACAAAAUGCUUUUAGGUACAUGUUUGAGUUGGUGAUGGGAAAGACUUAAUUUUGGCCAAUUUCAUGUCCACACAGCCUGAGACACGAGCGUGCGACUCUGCCAUGUAUGACACAUGGCCAUAUGACACGGUCGUGUGUCCUAUGUAGGUUUUAAGGUUUGCAGGUCAGGCAGUUACAUGGCCUAGCACACGGCCUGACAGACAGGCGCGUGUGGCCAUUUGGAAAGUUACACGACCUAGCACACAGGCGUGUGGCUUGGCCGUAUAACCCAAUUUUGAAAGUUACACAGGCACGAACACAGGCUGGGACACGGCCAUGUGUCCCUAUUUCGAAAGUUACACGGCCUGGCCACACAGCCGUGUGACCCCUGUAAUUCAAAAUUUCUAACUUUUCCUUAAACCUUCCAAAAUUUUCUAAUUUGGUCCCGAAUUGUUUCUAUAAUAUUUCUAGGGCCUCGAGGGCUCAAUUAAAGGACAAUACGCAUGUAAAUGAAUCAUUUAUGCUUUGUUUAUAUUAAUGAAUGUAAUGUAUGUUUUUAUGUUACGGUUAUACGGUAAUACUCUGUAACACUAUUUCGGCGACAGAUACGGGUUAGGGGUGUUACAGUGUCUGAAGUGGUUCUUCUAUUAAACUUAUCAAACAGUUUCCUCUUUGAGGUGUCAGCUUAAGAUUAUAUUGAAUUUUGGCUAAGUGCUUUAAGAGGCUAGAAGUGCUUCUUUUAUUAAACUUAGCAAGUAGUUUUCUCUUUGGGGUGUCUGCUUUUGAAAAUAUUAAAUUUUGCCUAAGUGCCUUAAAAGGCUAGAAGCGAUUAUUCUAUUAAACUUAGCGAGCAACUUCCUAUUUGGGGUGUCUAUUUUGUAACUUUGUAAAAUUUAACUAAGUGCCUUAAGAGGCUAGAAGCGAUUCUUUUAUUGAACUUAGCGAGCAAUUUCCUCUUGAGGUGUCUACUUUAUAACUUUGUUCAAUUUAGCCAAGUACCUUAAAAGGCUAGAAGCGAUUCUUCUAGUAAACUUAAUGAGCAAUUUCCUCUCGAGGUGUCUGCUUUAUAACUUUGUAAGCCUAAAAAGGCGAUGUUGAGCCUGAAAAGACAAUGGUGAGUCUAACAAAUGUUAAGUUUUAUAACAAUAUAUUUAUACCUUUUUGUCCAUAUAUACAUAAGAGGGCGGAAAAUUGUCCACUCCUUUGCUAGAGAGAUAUUCAUGGUACAACAUUUAUCCUUAUGAAACUUGAAAAGAACGCAUCAAUAAUAAAAGAGCCUAUUUUUCAGUGGUGUCAGAAACUGUGGUUUCGACGCCACCAAAUCCGAUGAGUAAGUUCGUAAAUAUUAUUAUUUAAUAUUUAACAGUCCAAUGUGAUUUUUAAAAAAAGGUUUUUGAUUUGAUAAUUUAUGUUAUAUAAGUGAUUUAUUAAGUUUAAGUGGUUUUAAAAAAUGAGGUAUCGGGGCCUUGUUUUUAUAAACUGAGCUGUAAAUAUUUUAUAAAUAUUUAAGGAGUAUCAUUAAGGUGGUAUUAAAGUUUCGUUAAGAAAUUUUAACAUUUCGAUAGUUAAUUGAUUAAAAAGGACCAAAUUAAAAAAAAUGUAUUCCUGGGACUCCGUUCCCAUAAAUUAAUAAAUAUUUACGAAGUUAGUUGUGUAGUUAGUUAGGUUUCGAUUAAGUGAAUUUGCUUGAAUUAAAAGUAAUUAGAUAUAAGGACUAAAUUGCAUAUAGCGUGAAAGUUGAAUUAUAGAUUAAAGAAAAAUUUAAGGGACUAAAUAAGUAAUUAUGCCAUUGGCAUUAAAUGAGGUUGCAUAAAAAUGAAGAUAUUUAUAAAAUUUAAAGUUAAAAAAAAUAUAAUAUUAUAAUAAUAAACCUUAAUGUUUAAGUAUAUAUUAUAUUAUAAUAAUAAAAUAAAAAGAAAUAGAAAUAGAAAAAGAGAAAGAUAGAACCAAAUAGAGAAGGAAAGAAAGAAAAAGGAAAGGAAAGGAGAAAUAAGGAGAAUUAGGAUUUCAAAGGUUCAAAGCUUAAUUAGUUAGUCAAUUUAGUCUCUUUUUUUGUAAUUUUUAUAUUUUUAGAACCCUGGUAUUAAAUACUACCCGACCCAUGUCAAAAUUUUAGAAAUUAUUCAGUUGUUAAAUAUUGCUUAUGUUGAAUAAUUUGAGUAUUAGGGAUUAAAUUGAUAGAUUUUCAAGUUAGAAAUGAAAAAAAGGAUUGAAUUGUAGAAUAAAUUGUAAAUUUUGAGUAAUAAGGACUAAACUGUGAAAAUUUAAAAAUUUAGGGAUUUAAGUGAAAAUAAAUAGUUGAAUUUAUUCUAAAUUGGAAUUUGCAUGAAAAUAAAGAAUUAAAUGUGAAGAAUAAAAGUUAGUCUCGGUUUAGGGACUAAAUUGGAAAUUAGGCAAAGAUUGAGUAAAAAUUGAAAUAUUCACUAUGAAAUUGAAUUGUGUUAUAUUUGAUGAAUUUUAAUUGUUUUAAUUCCGUAGCUAACGUCGUACCGGAAUCCUCGACUAAAAAGAGGAAAGACAAAGUCGACAUUGAAUAGCUCGAAAUUCCUGAUUUGUAUUUCUAUAAUCCGAACUUAGUUAUUAAUUAUUGUAUUUUGAUUAAAUGUUUAUGGUAAGUGUUGAGGUGGGUAAUUGAUAUUUUGACAAUUGAUUGAAUGAUUUGAAUUGAUAGAUAUAUAUAUUGAAUGGAUUGAUUUUUGAAUUGAAAUGGAUAUACAUGUAAAUUAUGUGAUUAUAUGAAAAAUUAGUAUUGGAUAUCGAUUAUAUUUGAAAUAUGAAAUUAAACCCUAUUAACUGUAUCGGAUGAUUCAGAUAUAGAUGACAUGCCAUAGGAUUGGAAGAGUUCAGGGAUUCUUCAACCUCGAGUCGAUGAGACAAUGGGUGUCAAUUUAUUUCUUCGGAUUAAUUCGAUGAGGCAUUGGGUGCCAAUUUACUUCAGUUUAGCCAAUAAGACGCUAGGUGUCAACUUAUUACUUCGAAUUAUCCGAUGAGGCAUUGGGUGCCAAUCUGCUGUGUUUUUGUUGGAUCCGUGUAUCCGUCUGUGACAGCCCAAAAUUGACCCUAGUCGGGAAAUGGUUUCGGGACCGCUAAACCGAGUCACCGAAAUGUUUGAAUGUGAUAUUUAUUGUCUAGAAUAUGUAAUUAUAAAUGUGUGAAAAUUUCAAGCUUCGAUUUAGUCGAUUGCAUGUGAAUUUAGUCAAUAGGACUUAUGUGAGAAAAUUUUAAAAUGUGAUAGGUCAAUGUGUAAGGACCUAUUAGUGUAUGUGGAAAAAAGGGGGGACUUGCAUGUCAAAUUCCCCCCCUAAUGAGUAGUGGCCGGCCAUGACAAGCAUGGUAGACCAAGUGUGAUGGGCAAGACAUGUCAUAGACAUGUUGUGUUAGUGCAUCAUGAGUGGAAACAUGUCACAAACAUGUUAUGUUAGUGAGGUAUGUUAGGAGAAAUAAAAUAAGGAGCAUGGGCAUAAAAUAAUGAAAAGGAGUAUGAUGAAUACAAAAAAAAAAAUGUGUGUAGUUGUUUCCCCCCCCAUUGCCGUGAGUUAAAGAAAAGAAAGGAGAAAAUUUUGUUCAUCCUUUUUCAUCUUCAUUUGGCCGAAAAUUUUAAGGAGGAAGGAAGAAGAAAGGUUGAAGAGGUUCGGCCAUGCAUGUGACUAGGCUAAGGUAUGUUUGGUGAUGUUCCAUGAGAUGCAUGCAUAUUUUAGUUGUUAGCUUGAGUUCUACCUAGCCCAUGGUCUAAAUCUUGCUAUGUGAUGGAAAUGACACUCGGCCAUGGAUGCAUCAUUCUUGGUUGAUGUUUGAUGUUGUGGUGAUGAGGCAUGAAGAUGAGUUAAGUUUCGGCUAAGGUGGAUUUGUGUUGAUGUCAUUUGCAUGCUAAGUGUAAAGCUUUGUAAUGAUGCAUGUGAUGGUGGAUUGAUGAUUCUUGAAUCUUCUUUUUAGCAUUUUUGAGUGAGCACAUAUGUGCAUUGGUUGCUAAAUGGAGAAGAAUCGGCUAGCAAGUUGUGUGCUAAGGCCGAAUAUAAUUUUUGUAUAUUAAUGAGUAAUGCAUGUGUUAAAUUGAUGGAAAGGGAGAGGAUGCUUUACUAGUGUAUAUAUGUGUGUAUUAGCCAAGUUUUGAACUUGAAACAAAAGGGUGUUUAGUCAAUACAAGUGACCAUACUUGUAGAAUGUAUUAAGUGUUGAAAUCGGCCCCAAAAUAGACAUGCAUAUUCGGCCAAGGGGGAAAAAUUAGCUAAAAUGUUGAGUUUGAUUCAUGAUUCCGUACAUAUGUGACUUUAAUGUCUAAUGUAUAAAUAUGGGCUAAGUGCCUUGUGUUCCUCUUUUCAAUGCUCAAAUGAUUAAAUCAAUUUAUUUGUUUAAUUAAGCUCAAGAGCAAAGGGGAACUAAAUCCGAUAAAGGGAAGGAUAAAGUGGUCGAAUAGCUAUCGGAAUCGUUCGACAACACCCGAGGUAAGUUCUUGAGUAAGAGAGCUUAAAUUAAGAUUAGAUUAGAUCAUGUUUUAAGCAAAUCAAAAUCAUGCUCUUUGUGUGUGUGGCUAUUGAGCCGAAAUUACAAGAAUGAUAAGUGUCUUGUGUUUGAGUUUUGCUAACGAAAAUGAAAUGCGAAUGGGCCAUGAUUUAUUGUUAAAUGUGCAUGGUUAUUUGAAUGAUGUCCGGGCUAAGUCCCGAAGGCUUUGUGCUAAGUGACCAUAUCCGGACUAAGAUCCGAAGGCAUUUAUGCGAGUUACUAAAUCCGGGUUAAGUCCCGAAGGCAUUUGUGCGAGUUACUAAAUCCGGGUUAAGUCCCGAAGGCAUUUGUGCGAGUUACUAUAACCGGGCUAUGUCCCGAAGGCAUUUGAACGAGGAGCUAUAUCCGGUUAAAUUCCGAAGGUACGUGAUUUGGGAAUGAAUGAUCUUGCUGUAAAAAUUUCAGUUAAUGCUCUAGAAACAUCCCAACAUUGAGGUAUGUUUCGUAUGUGCUUGAAUUUAGUUGAGCCCUUACAAAUAAGUAUUCGCUCAGUUGAUAAACGAGCUACCGGCCUUUGGCUAAGUUGAUCUUUUGUGUAUGUACAUAAGGGUUGGUAAUGUGAAGCAAGUAUGAUAUCGAAAAUUUGUGCAUAUGAAAUUAUCCGUUUAGCUAUAUGAAUGCUAUACUUUUGUUGUGCUGGAAUUCCUUGCUCAAAACUUACUAAGCAUAAAUUGCUUACUCCGUUUCAUUGCUCCUCUGUUUUAUAGAUUUGGUUCUCCAGCUAUCGGACUCGGGAUUUUGAAGUCGAAGUCGCCCACACUAUCAAAGCCCCCCUUUUGGUACAAUUUUGGUUGAACUUCGAAAUGGCAUGUAUAGGACUACCCGUUUGUUGUGGGUCAUGGACCCUUUGGACUUGUAUAAUUUUGGAUAGCCAUGCGAAAAUGGCUUAUAUAUGUUUGAGUGUAAUGUUAUAAUCAUUUGGUAUGGAUAUGGUUAUUGAGAGGUGUGGAUAGGCUUGACAAGGAUUGGCCAUGGGAAUGGUUAAUCACUAUCAUAAAUUGUGCUACUUAUGCAAAAAGGGCUAGUUGAAUCAUGGAAACUAUGAAAUAGGUAAAGUCUACCUUAAAGGCAGAUGCUGACAGCAGCAGUGAUGUAGAUUUGGAAAUUCACUAAAAAUAGUAGGAAUGGAAUUAAAUAGUGAAUAAAUUAAGUAAACGAACCUUGAUGAAUCUAUUUUCAUAGGAAAGUAACGAAACAAUCAUACGGACAGUAUGUUAAGAGAUAUUCAGGUUCUUGUGAGACAGGGCCAGAACAGUUUCUGGAUUUCCUGUUCCGACUUUGGAAAUUCAUUAUAAAUUAACCAAAGACAAUUAUGAGUCAAGCCAUAUAUGUAUAGAUUCCUCUCUGAGUCUAGUUUCUAUAGAAACAAACGGCAUCAGUAUUGAAGCCCUGUACAGGGAGAUAUCCAAGUCGUAAUGCGCAAAGGUCAGGGUAGUCGAUCCCUGUAAGAUGGGAGACUUUGAAUAAUAAACUGUACUAAUUGGCCCGACCAAAAAUUCUAGAAAAAAAUAUGUAGAUGGGCAUAUGAGUCUAGUUUCAGGGAAAAUUUACGGAACUGGAUUCCGAGUUUCUGAACUCAAGAUAUGAUUUUUAAAGCGACUAUUACGCAGAUUGGCAGUGUCUGGAAAAUUUUUAAAGUUUGUUAACACCUCGUGUUCGACUCCGGAGACGGUCUCGGGUUCGGGGUGUUACAUUUGAUUGGUAUUAGAGCCAGGUUUAGUCGAUUCUAGGACUACCGUAAUGCGUUGGGUCUAGCUAUACAUGCCAUUUUAUGUGAUUAUUUGAUAGUGUGGUGAUUUCUGACAUUGCAAAUGUGUUUAUUUAUAGUAAUGGAUCCCGAUCCCGACCGAGCGGUAGCUGAUGAUCUUGAGAGUGUAGCGCCUGCUCCCGCACAAGGGACAGCGCCGACGGACUCUCAACCUAAUGCUAGUAACCCGAACGAUGAAGCUAGACAAGCUUUCUAUAGCGUGAUGAAUGAUUGGUUCAACCUAUACAUUCGAACUAAUACGGCUGUUCCACAACCUCCAUUCCCGACAAAUACCACCCCCGCACCUACAAUACCUCCGGUAACUGACCAAAUAAGGUCAAAUAAGCCCCCAGUUGACAGAAUCUGAAAACAUGGGGCUACUGAAUUUAAAGCUACGGAUAGCGACGAUGCCGAACAAGCUGAAUUUUGGUUGGACAACACUAUCCGGGUACUCGAUGAGCUAUCUUGUACACCCGAUGAAUGCUUAAAGUGUACUAUCUCCUUGCUACGUGAUUCUGCCUACUAUUGGAGUACUCUGACUUCUGUUGUGCCCCGAGAGCAAGUAACUUGGGAGUUUUUCCAAACUGAGUUUCGGAAAAAGUAUAUCAGUCAGAGAUUUGUUGAUCAAAAACGGAAGGAAUUUCUUGAGCUUAAGCAAGGUUCCAUGUCAGUUACUGAUUACGAGCGAAAAUUUGUUAGACUUAGCAAAUACGCUCGGGAAUGUGUUUCGUCCGAGGCUAUCAUGUGUAAACGCUUCGAGGAUGGGCUGAAUGAAGAUAUAAAAAUGUUCGUUGGCGUUCUUGAAAUACGAGAGUUCGUAGUACUUGUCGAGCGAGCUUGUAAAGCCGAAGAGCUUAGAAAAGAAAAACAAAAAGUUGAUGUGGGAACUGGAGAGUUUCAUAAAAGAUCUUCGGGAAAGUCUCUUCAACAGGCAUCGAAGAAAUUUCGAGAUGAUGUGGGCUGGUCGAGAGGCACUUUCGGGCCUUUUUAGACGAGAUCGUGAUUGACCCCCUGUGGGUACACGAGGCACUUCGGUCGCCAGUGUUGGGAAUGAACGUCGAGACUGAACGAAAUGUCGAUAUUGCGGUAAAUGGCAUUCGGGGAGUUGUAGAUUCCCUGACCGCUCCUGUUACAAGUGCGGAUCAGUUGACCACUUCAUUAAAGAUUGCCCGAGGUUGUCUGAAUAGAAUGUAAAUGAGAGUGGGAAACCGGGUGCUACCACUGCUCGAGGUAGACCAUCUGGAAAUACGGGCAAUGCUAGUGGUGGUCAGAGAGGAUCUAGAGAUGCUAUGACCAGAUCCGAGGCUCGUGCGCCUGCUAGAGCUUAUGCUAUACGUGCCCGCGAGGAUGCUUCUUCGCCUGAUGUUAUUACUGGUACUUUUACUCUCUUUGAUACUAAUGUAAUUGGUUUGAUUGACCCCGGUUCUACUCAUUCUUACAUAUGUGAAACCUUAGCAUCCAGUAAGACUUUACCUAUUGAGUCUACUGAGUUCGUAAUUCGGGUGUCAAAUCCCUUGGGUCGUUACGUGCUUGUCGACAAAGUGUGUAAGAAAUGUCCCCUAGAAAUUCGAGGUUCCUGUUUUCCGGCGGACUUGAUGCUUUUGUCGUUUGAUGAAUUUGAUGUUAUUCUUGGUUUGGAUUGGUUGACCGUGCAUGAUGUGGUUGUGAAUUGUAAAAGCAAGACUAUUGAUUUGAGGUGCGCAAAUAACGAAGUAAUCCGAGUUGAGUCUAUGGACUUGGAGGGGAUGCCAGCUGUAAUAUCAUCAAUGUUGGCCCAGAAAUAUGUAAAAAAAAAGGUGCGAAGCAUACCUUGCGUAUGUACUUGAUGACAAAGAAUUAGAAAAGAAACCCGAAUCUGUGCCGGUGGUUUGUGAAUACCCGGAUGUUUUUCCUGAAGAAUUACCGGGUUUACCACCUGUUCGGGAGAUAGAGUUUGGUAUUGAGCUUGUACCUGGGACUACGCCGAUUUCGAUAGCUCCGUAUCGUAUGGCACCAACCGAGUUAAAAGAGUUGAAAGUUCAGUUGCAAGAAUUGACGGAUAGAGGUUUUGCUCGACCAAGUUUCUCACCUUGGGGUACACCAGUAUUGUUCGUGAAAAAGAAGGACGGAACCAUGAGGUUGUGCAUUGACUAUCGUCAACUGAAUAAAGUGACGAUAAAGAACAAAUAUCCGUUACCGCGUAUCGAUGAUUUGUUCGACCAACUGAAGGGAGCCUCAAUGUUCUCAAAAAUAGAUUUGAGAUCAGGCUAUUAUCAAGUGCGAAUUCAAGAAUCGGACAUACCCAAAACUGCCUUCAGGACGAGAUAUGGUCACUACGAGUUCUUAGUGAUGCCGUUUGGGCUCACUAAUGCCCCUGCGAUAUUUAUGGAUUUGAUGAAUCGGAUCUUCAGACCAUAUUUGGAUCGGUUCGUAGUUGUGUUCAUUGAUGACAUCUUGGUCUAUUCAAGAGAUGAGACCGAACAUGCUGAGCACCUGAGACUAGUGUUGCAAAUUUUGCGGGAUAAGCAGUUAUAUGCUAAGUUCAGUAAGUGUGAGUUCUGGUUAGGAGAGGUUAGCUUCUUGGGUCAUGUGGUAUCCGCAUCGGGUAUUCGAGUUGACCCGAGCAAAAUUUCAGCCAUACUUAACUGGAAGCCUCCAAGAAAUAUUACCGAAGUUCGAAGCUUUUUGGGGCUCGCCGGUUAUUACCGACGAUUUGUCAAAGGUUUCUCGAUGAUAGCCACACCAAUGACGAAGCUACUUCAAAAGGAUGUUAAGUUCGAAUGGACGGAGAAAUGUCAGAAAAGUUUCGAUCAACUGAAAACUCAUUUGACUGAAGCUCCAAUUUUAGUGCAACCCGAAUCAGGCAAAGAGUUUGUCAUUUAUAGUGACGCAUCCCUACUUGGGUUGGGUUGCGUAUUGAUGCAAGAAGGUCGAGUUGUGGCCUAUGCGUCGAGACAAUUGAAGCCACACGAGAGAAAUUAUCCGACCCAUGAUCUCGAACUAGCUGCCAUCGUAUUUGCUUUAAAAAUAUGGCGACAUUACUUAUUUGGUGAAAAGUGCCAUGUAUUUUCGGAUCACAAAAGUCUCAAAUAUUUGAUGACUCAAAGAGACUUAAAUCUGCGACAAAGACGUUGGCUUGAGUUGUUGAAAGAUUACGAGCUUGUCAUUGAUUACCACCCGGGAAAGGCUAAUGUGGUUGCGGACGCCUUAAGCCGAAAAUCAUUGUUUGCUUUACGAGCGAUGAAUGUGCACUUGUCUGUUCUACUCGACAAUGUGUUAAUAGCUGAAUUAAAAGCCAAACCAUUAUUGAUUCAUCAAAUUCGUGAAGCCCAGAAAGUUGAUGAUGAAUUGGUUACAAAACGGGCUGAGUGUGCUCCGAACAAGGAAUCGGAGUUUCAAAUUGAUGAUGAUUGUUUGAGGUUCAGAAGUCGUUUGUGUGUUCCAAGGAAUUCGGAACUCAUUUCGAUGAUUCUGAACGAAGCCCAUUGUAGCCGAAUGUCAAUUCACCCGGGGAGUACGAAAAUGUACAACGAUUUGAAACGUUGGUUUUGGUGGCAUGGUAUGAAACGAGACAUCUCCGACUUUGUUUCGAGAUGUUUAAUAUGUCAACAAGUGAAAGCGGAACAUCAAGUGCCUUCAGGAUUACUUCAGCCGGUCAUGAUACCCGAGUGGAAAUGGGAUCGAGUCACAAUGGACUUUGUGUCCGGACUGCCAUUGUCAGCAAGUAAGAAGGAUGCGAUUUGGGUUGUUGUUGAUAGACUGACUAAGUCGGCUCACUUUAUUCCCGUGCGUACGGAUUUUUCAUUGGAUAAACUAGCUGAAUUGUAUGUUUCUCAAAUUGUGAGAUUACACGGGGUACCUAUUUCUAUCGUGUCGGAUAGAGAUCCGAGAUUCACCUCACGAUUUUGGAAGAAAUUGCAAGAAGAUUUGGGUACCAAGCUGCAUUUUAGCACUGCUUUUCACCCCCAAACCGAUGGUCAAUCCGAGCGGAUAAUUCAGAUACUGGAGGAUAUGUUGAGAUGUUGCAUCCUCGAGUUCAGUAGUUCAUGGGAACGGUAUUUACCUUUGAUUGAAUUCGCUUACAACAAUAGUUUUCAAUCAAGUAUUAAGCUGGCACCUUACGAGGCUUUGUACGGUUGUAAAUGCCGUACACCAUUGUUUUGGACCGAGCUCGGUGAAAGUAAAAUUUUCGGAGUUGAUUUGAUUAAAGAUGCCGAACAGAAAGUAAAGGUAAUCCGUGAAAGUCUGAAGGUAGCCACAGAUCGUCAGAAAUCAUAUGCGGAUUUGAAACGAAAGGACAUUGGAUAUCAGGUGGGAGAUAAAGUGUUCCUUAAAGUUUCGCCUUGGAAAAAGGUACUCAGGUUUGGCCGUAAGGGCAAGUUGAGCCCGAGAUUCAUUGGGCCGUACGAAAUCUCCGAACGAGUUGGUCCGGUUGCGUAUAGAUUGAUUUUGCCCCCUGAGCUUGAAAAGAUUCACGACGUCUUUCAUGUUUCGAUGCUUCGACGCUAUCGAUCUGAUCCAUCGCACAUAAUUAGCCCAUCAGAGGUUGAAAUUCAAGCCGAUAUGAGUUAUGAAGAAAAACCGAUGCGUAUUCUAGCUCGUGAAGUGAAGGAGUUGCGAAAUAAAAGGGUUCCGUUAGUGAAGGUGUUAUGGCUCAAACACGGGAUCGAGGAAGCUACUUGGGAAACCGAGAGCUCGAUGAAAGAAUGAUACCCAAACCUAUUUACCGGUAAGAUUUUCGGGGACGAAAAUUUCUGAAGUGGGGGAGAGUUGUGACAGCCCAAAAUUGACCCUAGUCGGGAAGUGGUUUCGGGACCGCUAAACUGAGUCACCGAAAUGUUUGAAUGUGAUAUUUAUUGUCUAGAAUAUGUAAUUAUGAAUGUGUGAAAAUUUCAAGCUUCGAUUUAGUCGAUUGCAUGUGAAUUUAGUCAAUAGGACUUAUGUGAGAAAAUUUUAAAAUGUGAUAGGUCAAUGCGUAAGGACCUAUUAGUGUAUGUGGAAAAAAGGGGGGACUUGCAUGUCAAAUUCCCCCCCUAAUGAGUAGUGGCCGGCCAUGACAAGCAUGGUAGACCAAGUGUGAUGGGCAAGACAUGUCAUAGACAUGUUGUGUUAGUGCAUCAUGAGUGGAAACAUGUCACAAACAUGUUAUGUUAGUGAGGUAUGUUAGGAGAAAUAAAAUAAGGAGCAUGGGCAUAAAAUAAUGAAAAGGAGUAUGAUGAAUACAAAAAAAAAAUGUGUGUAGUUGUUUCCCCCCCAUUGCCGUGAGUUAAAGAAAAGAAAGGAGAAAAUUUUGUUCAUCCUUUUUCAUCUUCAUUUGGCCGAAAAUUUUAAGGAGGAAGGAAGAAGAAAGGUUGAAGAGGUUCGGCCAUGCAUGUGACUAGGCUAAGGUAUGUUUGGUGAUGUUCCAUGAGAUGCAUGCAUAUUUUAGUUGUUAGCUUGAGUUCUACCUAGCCCAUGGUCUAAAUCUUGCUAUGUGAUGGAAAUGACACUCGGCCAUGGAUGCAUCAUUCUUGGUUGAUGUUUGAUGUUGUGGUGAUGAGGCAUGAAGAUGAGUUAAGUUUCGGCUAAGGUGGAUUUGUGUUGAUGUAAUUUGCAUGCUAAGUGUAAAGCUUUGUAAUGAUGCAUGUGAUGGUGGAUUGAUGAUUCUUGAAUCUUCUUUUUAGCAUUUUUGAGUGAGCACAUAUGUGCAUUGGUUGCUAAAUGGAGAAGAAUCGGCUAGCAAGUUGUGUGCUAAGGCCGAAUAUAAUUUUUGUAUAUUAAUGAGUAAUGCAUGUGUUAAAUUGAUGGAAAGGGAGAGGAUGCUUUACUAGUGUAUAUAUGUGUGUAUUAGCCAAGUUUUGAACUUGAAACAAAAGGGUGUUUAGUCAAUACAAGUGACCAUACUUGUAGAAUGUAUUAAGUGUUGAAAUCGGCCCCAAAAUAGACAUGCAUAUUCGGCCAAGGGGGAAAAAUUAGCUAAAAUGUUGAGUUUGAUUCAUGAUUCCGUACAUAUGUGACUUUAAUGUCUAAUGUAUAAAUAUGGGCUAAGUGCCUUGUGUUCCUCUUUUCAAUGCUCAAAUGAUUAAAUCAAUUUAUUUGUUUAAUUAAGCUCAAGAGCAAAGGGGAACUAAAUCCGAUAAAGGGAAGGAUAAAGUGGUCGAAUAGCUAUCAGAAUCGUUCGACAACACCCGAGGUAAGUUCUUGAGUAAGAGAGCUUAAAUUAAGAUUAGAUUAGAUCAUGUUUUAAGCAAAUCAAAAUCAUGCUCUUUGUGUGUGUGGCUAUUGAGCCGAAAUUACAAGAAUGAUAAGUGUCUUGUGUUUGAGUUUUGCUAACGAAAAUGAAAUGCGAAUGGGCCAUGAUUUAUUGUUAAAUGUGCAUGGUUAUUUGAAUGAUGUCCGGGCUAAGUCCCGAAGGCUUUGUGCUAAGUGACCAUAUCCGGACUAAGAUCCGAAGGCAUUUAUGCAAGUUACUAAAUCCAGGUUAAGUCCCGAAGGUAUUUGUGCGAGUUACUAAAUCCGGGUUAAGUCCCGAAGGCAUUUGUGCGAGUUACUAUAACCGGGCUAUGUCCCGAAGGCAUUUGAACGAGGAGCUAUAUCCGGUUAAAUUCCGAAGGUACGUGAUUUGGGAAUGAAUGAUCUUGCUGUAAAAAUUUCAGUUAAUGCUCUAGAAACAUCCCAACAUUGAGGUAUGUUUCGUAUGUGCUUGAAUUUAGUUGAGCCCUUACAAAUAAGUAUUCGCUCAGUUGAUAAACGAGCUACCGGCCUUUGGCUAAGUUGAUCUUUUGUGUAUGUACAUAAGGGUUGGUAAUGUGAAGCAAGUAUGAUAUCGAAAAUUUGUGCAUAUGAAAUUAUCCGUUUAGCUAUAUGAAUGCUAUACUUUUGUUGUGCUGGAAUUCCUUACUCAAAACUUACUAAGCAUAAAUUGCUUACUCCGUUUCAUUGCUCCUCUGUUUUAUAGAUUUGGUUCUCCAGCUAUCGGACUCGGGAUUUUGAAGUCGAAGUCGCCCACACUAUCAAAGCCCCCCUUUUGGUACAAUUUUGGUUGAACUUCGAAAUGGCAUGUAUAGGACUACCCGUUUGUUGUGGGUCAUGGACCCUUUGGACUUGUAUAAUUUUGGAUAGCCAUGCGAAAAUGGCUUAUAUAUGUUUGAGUGUAAUGUUAUAAUCAUUUGGUAUGGAUAUGGUUAUUGAGAGGUGUGGAUAGGCUUGACAAGGAUUGGCCAUGGGAAUGGUUAAUCACUAUCAUAAAUUGUGCUACUUAUGCAAAAAGGGCUAGUUGAAUCAUGGAAACUAUGAAAUAGGUAAAGUCUACCUUAAAGGCAGAUGCUGACAGCAGCAGUGAUGUAGAUUUGGAAAUUCACUAAAAAUAGUAGGAAUGGAAUUAAAUAGUGAAUAAAUUAAGUAAACGAACCUUGAUGAAUCUAUUUUCAUAGGAAAGUAACGAAACAAUCAUACGGACAGUAUGUUAAGAGAUAUUCAGGUUCUUGUGAGACAGGGCCAGAACAGUUUCUGGAUUUCCUGUUCCGACUUUGGAAAUUCAUUAUAAAUUAACCAGAGACAAUUAGGAGUCAAGCCAUAUAUGUAUAGAUUCCUCUCUGAGUCUAGUUUCUAUAGAAACAAACGGCAUCAGUAUUGAAGCCCUGUACAGGGAGAUAUCCAAGUCGUAAUGCGCAAAGGUCAGGGUAGUCGAUCCCUGUAAGAUGGGAGACUUUGAAUAAUAAACUGUACUAAUUGGCCCGACCAAAAAUUCUAUAAAAAAAUAUGUAGAUGGGAAUAUGAGUCUAGUUUCAGGGAAAAUUUACGGAACUGGAUUCCGAGUUUCUGAACUCAAGAUAUGAUUUUUAAAGCGACUAUUACGCAGAUUGGCAGUGUCUGGAAAAUUUUUAAAGUUUGUUAACACCUCGUGUUCGACUCCGGUGACGGUCUCGGGUUCGGGGUGUUACACCGUCCGAGUCCGAGUCGUGUUAAUAGGGGUAAUUAAAUGAAAUGAUACUGUGAAUGGUAUUGAAAAGCAUUGAAUGUGAAAUGGAAAUGAGAAAUAUGACUUGUGAAAAGUUAUUUGAGAUAGCAAGUGAUGAAUAAUGAAUAAGUUAUGAAUGAUUUGUUAUGAAUUGAUUAUUUGAAUGGUUAUUGAUAUUGUAUGAUUAAACAUGUAUGUUAUAUUAUUUUACUUUAAAUAUUUAGAUUAUAGAAAUACCACUGAGUUUAUACUCAGCGUACGGUUUGUUUUUCGUGCACAGGUUAGGUACUUAAGAGUUGAUCGUCGAUUCAACAUCUAUUAACGAUCCUGAUCUCAAACGUGGUGAUGUAUGUUUCUUUUUGUUUCGGCAUGCACCUAGAUUGUCUAAAGCUUAUCAUUUUGUGGAGUGAUUGUAAUUAGUAUUAUAAGUUGAUAUUGGUUGAUUUUAUAUAUGAAUAUAUGUGUUAUUGAGUCUAUAAUAUGGCAUGUUUAGGUUGAUGCAUGAAUGAACAUGAUAUAGGCAAAAUUUAGGUUGAUAUUGGCAUGGUUUUAAAUUGGUUUUGAUAGAUGUUAUUUGAAAUAUUUAGAUAAUGUUUUUGAAGUAUUUAUAGGGGUACAUUGGUUAGGAAACUAGGUUGAUUGUUUUGGCAUGUUUAAAAGGUAAUUGAUCGUGUUUUGGAUGGGUUGAACGAAUAGUUUUUGAGUUGUUUAGUGUUUAAGCUUGCAGGGAAUGGUAAACUUGUUAUUUAAGGUACAUUUUGGCCACAUGGCCGUGUGAACCCUACAGCUUUGAAAAUUUUUAUUAUUUUUUGAAAAAUUCUCUGAGUUUCCAAAUUAGUGCCAACUUGUUUCUAAUAUGUAAUUUAGGCCUCGAGGGCUCAAAUAAGGGACAAUAUGUAUGAGUUUGAUUAGUUUUGUCUUUAAUAUUAUAUGAUAUGAAAUGCUUGAAAUUAUGUCUGUUUGAUCGAUAAUACUCCAUAAUCCUAUUCUAGUGACAGAUGUGGGUUAGGGGUGUUACAAAUAAUUUUUACCAUAAUAUGUUUACCUUCUCAUCAAUUUAUGCCUGAAAAGGCAAGAAGGCAUUCACAGAUUUAUUAGCCAUGCACAUUUGGCGUGACAUGUAACACUCCUCACCCGGUCUGGUCGUCAGACUUGGGUAAUAGGAUGCUUCAACUAAAUACCAUACAAUUACAACAAAUUGUAAUUUUAAAAUCUCAAUUAAAUAUCAAACAAAUCAUAAUUAAUUAAAUUAAUAUGUGUUUCAAUCAGUUACGGGUUAACAUCGAGCUUAUGGAAGGUUAAAACUAAGUAGACAAUCAUUUUAGAUCAAUUUGAAACAAAUUUAAAAAGAUAAGAAAAAUAUGAAAAUAGGGGACACACGACUGUGUCCCGAGGUCGUGUGGAAGGGUUGAGGCUGCGUGGAUGGAUCACAUGACAGUGUGAGUAAACCGUAUAACAACUUGAUGCCGUGUCAAAUGAGGGUCACACAGCCGUAUCGCCAGGCCAUGUGACAAAGUUCAGCCCAUGUGGCUCAAGAAUAUGGUCGUGUGGCCAGAUUGUGUACAAUUUGAAUAGAGGGUCACAUAGCCAUGUAACUUCCUGAGACCGUGUGGACAAAUGUAACACCCUGAUUUUGGGCCUAGUCGGAACAAUAAUUUCGGGACCACAAAUUUGAUGACGAAAAUUUUAUUUUUAUUAUAUUUUUAUGGUCUACGAUUUCACAGAAUAAUUUUGUGAAAAUUUCGUUCGAAAAUUUUGACGUUCGGGCACUUAAUUUAGUCAAAAGGACUAAAUUGUAAAAAGUGCAAAAGUUGAGUUCUACAUACUAGAGGUAUCCAAUUGUUAUGAAAUUUUAAAUUGAGGGUCCUUAAAUGGUAAUUAUACCAUUGGUUAAUUUCUGGACAAAAAUAGACAUGAAAUGGGUGUAAUAAAAUAUUUUUAAGUUAGGGGUAUUUUGGUAAACUAAUAAUUAAAAGAAUUAAAAAGGGAAAUAAGCCAAAUUAGCUAUAGUCUUCUUCAUUCAACCGUUUCUACUAGCAGCAGCCAUGGUUAAGGUUUGUUCAAACUCCCAAGCUCGAUUGUAAGUGCUCCCUAGCCCCGUUUUUAAAGUUCUUUACAUUUUUGAAAUUCCGGUAACUUGGUUAAGCUUAUUCUAGCAAUAAUUUAACCUAGGGUUUAUAUUUUGAAAAAUACCCAUAGGUGAAAUGUGUUUAUUUUGAUGUUUUAUGGUAGAAUAUGAAGCUUGAAAUUGUGUUAAACAACUUUUACUAAGCGAUUUUACGUGAAAACGAGUAAAACGACAUAAUCGGUAAAAAUACCUAAUGUUCAUAAGUACAUGUUAGAGUGCGAAUUUGAUGUUGCUAUAGAAGGGAAAAAUGAUCAGCAUGUCAUAAAAAAUAAGGAAAUAGGAUGAAGUUUAAUUUACGAGCCUAGGGGCAAAAAUGUAAUUUUGAAAAAGUUUAGGGGAAAAUUUUUAAUUUUUCCAAAAUAUGAUUUUGGGUUAAUUUGAAUAAUGUGAGUCCUAAUUAGGCUAUAUUUGAAAUGAUAGAGCAAGGAAAAAUCAAAAUUCGGGCUAAAAUCAGAAAUCAGGUUGUGGACAAAAUGGUAAAAAUGGCCAUUUUCGCAUGCGAGGUAAGUUCAUAUGAUUUUUAAUAAUGCAAUGUGUAAUUUAAUGUUAUUGCCUUGAUAUUAAACGAGAUGUAAGUUCAUGUGUAAAUGUGGUAACAUAAUUGUUAUUUUAGGUAAUUUAAUGUUAUUUAUAUGAUAUAAUGAUUAUUAUUAUGAAAUAUUAUGCUUUGUGGAUUAUUAUUUAGUAAUAUGCAAAUUAUGUGAGCUAUUUGAUAAAUAAGAAAUGCUACCAAGUAUCGGUUCCAACAUUUCGUGGAAGACGGCAAAGAUGUGUGAUUGAAGAAAAUCCCAUUUGAACCUUGGGAAUAGAUUAGGAUACAAGUGACAUGUCAAAAAGAUAUUUGAGUUCCGAACUCGUUGAGUUGAGUCCGAGUUCGUGAGAUGUAACUAGGCAUCCGAACUCAUUGAGUUGAGUCUGAGUUCACUUAUGGAUGCGCACACCUGAGCUCGUUGAGUUGAGUCCGAGUUCACUUAUGGGUGGGUGACAUGGUAGCUUGGCUACACAUAUAUUCCGCAGGCUAUUGAGUUUGUCUAGCUGUGGGCAUGGCACUUAUGUGCAUGCAUUCCGUGUAUCCGAUUAUAUUCCGAGUGUUCAACGGGUAAUUUGGCAAAGUAUUCGUUGAUGAUCCCAAUGAGAUAAGCCAUUGGUGAGUAUGUCUUUGAGUUAUGUUACAAGUUGUACAGGUAUGUACACUAAACUUAUGUGUGAUGCCUUGACAUGUGAUGAUCUAUGAUGUAUAUAGUGUUUGGUCAAUAUUAUGAAAAUGACAUGAUUUGGAAUAAGUCCUUGAUACUUGAUGACAUUGAGAUUAUGGAUUUAUGCUUAUGAAGCAUAAUUAUGUGUUCUUACCAUUAUGAAUGAAAUGAUAUUGUAUGGAUUUGGUGAAUAAUAGUAAUGAAUGAGUAAAUUUAGCCUUGGCAGUUUUGGAUUACUGCAGUGGUGAAACUUUGAAAAUUCACCAUAAAUUGUGGAAAUUGAAUUAGGGACUGAAUAAAAUAUGAGGUUAAAGCCCAAUAAGUCUAGUUUCACAUAGAAGAAACAGUAUAUGCAAUCGAAAUUUAUAUUAUGAGAUAUUUAAAUUGUUGUGAGACAGAGUCUGAAUGAGAGAAUUAAAAAUUGUAUAAAAAUAAUUUUUGGUUGUAAUUUAUAUUAUUAAAUGAGAGCAUUAUCCGAAUUCUGUACUAUGAGAAAAAUAAUUUUUAGUGAAGAGAGGUCAGAACUGUUGGACAGCAAAACAGGGGAAACUUUAAUGAAUAAACUGUACUAAUUUGCUAAACCAAAACUUUUGGAAAUUUUAUGGGAGAAAGAUAUAUGAGUCUAGUUUCAAGGAAAAUUAACAAAACUUAAUUUGGAGUCUCGUAGCUCUAGAUAUAAAUGAAUUAGCAACUGUAAUUCGGUAAAACAGCUUAACCUGAACAAGAGUAAAUUGUACAAUUAUGAUGUUUUACCUUGGAAAAAAAACAUGUGGGUAAUUGCUUAUUAACUUCAUAUGGACUUACUAAGCGUAAAGCUUACCCCUCAUCUCUACUUCUUCAGUUUUGGCAGAUCAGCUCGGGGUUAGAGACCGUCGGAGGUAAAAUCACACUAUUAAGCUAUCAUUUUUGGGAGAAUUAAUCCAAAUAUUAGAAAUAUCAAGUGAGUGGCAUGUAUAGGAAGUUGGUUUGUGAUAUGUAUGAUUAUUAUGACUUUGACCAUACGUAUCGAUCUGCAUUGAGUUAUCGUAUAUGAUUAUGAGAUGUGGUCCUUAUCCAUUAUGGUUUGUAAGUUUAAUUAAUCAUGCCAUGUCCUAUGUUUUGAUGUGAUGAUAUAGUUAGCUUUGUUUGUUAUACAUGAUUGGUAAUACAUCAGGUAAGUUAAAUGCAGGCCAGUGGAUCAUGAAUUAAAUGGAAAUAAGUAAUGUUGCCUUGAAUAUGGAUGUUUAAUGGACAAAUUGGUAACGACAUUAUGAUGGUAUAAAAUGAGAAUAAGAUUUAGCAUGUCUAGUUCUAGUUAAUGUAAGAAUGUAUAUUAUAUACAGGAUGGUAAGCACAUAUGUUUAAAGUGAAUGGCAUGUUAUUGCAUGAUUAUGGAUGUGUAAGUGCUCAUUUAUGCCACAUUAUAUAUCUUUAAAUAUGAGUCUAUGCAUGUGUUCAAAAAGUUUUGAAUUAAAUGAAAUUUUAUGGCCCGAUUUUCGUUUAUGUGUAUGGUUAAUUCUGGUAAUGCCUUGUACCCUGUUUCGGCCUUGGAUACUGGUAAGGGGUGUUACAACAAACCUGCACCAAAUUUAAAUAGGCCACAUGGUCAUGUGGACUGGCCGUGUGGGACACAAGGCUGUGUGGUAGACCGUUUCCUAGGCCAUGUGCACCUAAAAUAACUUCAAACUUAAGCCAUUUCACCUACCAUUGCUUGGUUACCAAGCUAUACCAUUUUCAACUAUAAUUACCCAUUACAAAACAUGCCAAAUCAUGUCAAAACAUGCCAAAUACCAUUCAACCUAAGUGCCUAACCAAUAUGUCCACAAAUGCACCUCAAAUCAAAACAACCAAAAUGAAUAUGCUCAAACAUAACAAUUCAUUAACAUUAUAUGACACUUUCUCAAUCAUUUACUUAAGCAUAAAUAAUCUUUAAAUCAACUCAUGUUUUAACAUCAAAUAUAUCAAAACAUACCAAACAUCCUUCCACAUCUAAGCAUCAACCAAGAACAUAUAGCAUAACAAGACAUUUCUCUCAACCGUAAGGAUAUCAAGUAUACAAUUCAAGCAAUCUAACAAGUCAUCAACCCAAUACCAUUACCUUCUCAUAUAUGUAUAUAUAAACAUAAUAAGCAAGACCAUCAAGAUACAAAAUGAACUUUAUAACCAAAAGACUUCCUAGGUACAUGCCAAAACCAAAAUAAGAGUAUCACCAACACUUGAGUUCGGGACUAUCGCUGGAUACUGAAUCGACGUACAUACCAAAUGGUACCUAACUUGUGCAUGGAAAACAAAAUCGUACGCUGAGUAUAACUCAGUGGUAUUUCUAUAAUCUGAACAAUAAGUAUAAUAUGAAACAAAAAUGAGCAUAACUUUAUAAUGAAAAUAAGAUGCAAAUCAUCAAGCCAAAUAUGCUAUUUCACAUAAUCAUGUACUCAAAACCAUCUUAUUUCUCUUAUAUCAACUUAAGUCUAUCACAUUUUGCAAGUUAAUAAUCAUACAAAUCGUAUAAGAUACAUUUCAUCUCAAAAUCCAAUUUCAUGAUUUUAUGGAAUAUAACAUAUUAAUGUUCUCAAUUCAAUCCACAAUUCACAUUUCAUUUUCCAUUUCCAAUUUCAUUUAUUAUUAUAUUUUCCAAAUCAAAAUCAUAUAAUCCAUUUCGUUCUUUAUAUCUCUAUUAACACGACUCGGAUGGAUACACGGAUCCAACCAACAUACCAAUUUGGCACCCACUACCUCACCGGACAAAUCUGAAGAAAAUAGUUGUGCCCAAUGCUAUCAAAUAUAUUGACCCCAAUGUAAGCAAAUUGGUACCCAGUGCCUUAUUGACUCGUAGUCGAAGAAAACCCUAAACUCUUUCUAUCCUAUGGCAUGCCAAUUAUAUCCGAAUCUGUCCGAACAGUUAAUAAGGUUUCCAUUACUUAUUUCAUUCUCAAUCCAUGUACCAAUUCGCAAUAAUUACAUCAUUAACUCAUUUAUACAAUCAUAUAAUAACAUAAAACAUUUCAUUAUACAUUCAAUUCUACAUUUACAUGAAUACACAUAUCUUUCACAAAUGCUCAAAUUAAUCCUCAAUAACACCAAUCAUUUUUACCAAUUCAAAUACAUCUAAAUUUCCUAAAUAGACUCACAUUAUAUUCUUACCAUACAAACAAAAUUCAAAUGCAGCAAUUUACGAGUAAUUCGAAUCAUAAAAACACAAACCAUAAACUCUGAGCUAUUCAUCGACGACUUUGUCUUUUCCUUUCUUUUCCGAAGAAUUCAGGUCAAUGCUAGCUAUGGGUUAAAACAAAAAAACACAUUUCAUCAAUACACAAAAAAUUUCACAUUUAAUUGAUAAUUAAAUAGACUUUUAUAUUUUAUUCAAUUUAGUCUUUAAAAUAGGGACUGACAUAACUUCAACAUUCAACCUCAAAUUUUUAUACCAAUUUCACUCUAAGCCAAAAUUAACUCCCUAUUUCUUAUUUUUAUCCCAAAAUUUUAAUUUUUUUCAAUUUGGUUCUUAUUCCACAAAAUUAACCAUUGAUUUUAUAAUUUAGUCCUUUUUCACUUCUAACCUAAAAAUCUGUCAAAUUGGUCCUUGAAACUUUAACUAUUCAACUAAAGUAUCAUUUUCAAAUUUUAAAAAUAACAAAUAAUACAACAUGAGCCAGCUAGCUCGAAGUACUGAGAUGUCAAAAACAAAAAAAUUAUGAGAAAAUGACUAAAUUACACUAACCAAUUAAAGUUUGAAAUUUGGAAGCCCUUGUCGUUUCAUCUUCUCCCCUAAGCUCUUUGCUUCAAAAUUUAAACAUGAAAAGGGAAAUGUUUUUGUUUCCCUACUACUUAAUUUUAUGUCAUAAUAUUUUAUUAUAUUAUGAUUUUGUAACAUAUAUUAAGAUUAAUUAUAACAUAUAUAACAUAUAUAUUAAUAAUUUAUCUCAUGACCGUCCACUACAAUAAGAAUAAAUUUUUAAUUUCUUUUUAAGUCCCUUAGCUAUGUUUUACCUUAUAAUUUAAUAACAAUUCACACUUUUAUCACUUAUGCGAUUUAGUCCCUUUCGCUAAAUAAGCCUUAAUUCAAUACAAUUACCCGACUAAAAUUUAAUUCACUUCUAACAUAACUCUAUAAAUAUUUAAUUAAAAAAUUUACGAGUUUAGUUUACAGAAAUGGGAUCCUGAAACCACACUUUUUGACAUCACUAACUUUCAGGUCGUUACAUUACAUUUAUUCCUACCUAACUUAAAAAAAUAUCAGUAUAUUUUUAUAAUAAUAUAUAUUUUACCUUUCAUUGAAGUAUGUUUAAAAAGGCUAGAAUGUGCUCGCUCAUUUACUGACAAGUUAUACAUGGCGCGGCAUGUAUUCCUGUGCAACUCGUAAUAAUAUUAUUAAAUUUUUAUAAUAAUAUAUAUUUUAUGUCACACUCGGUUUUCAUUUAAUUCCCGAAGUAAAAACAGAGUUGGGAGUUACUUGAAUAAAAUAGUAAGUCGAAAAGAUCUACUGGAAAACUUGGACAUAUUUGUUGUUGAUUAGUGAAUGGUUGAGUCUUAAUUCUAGUUAAGUUAGAAUGGAAUUGGUUGGUUCCUUAGUAGGAGACAAAAUGAUUACUGAUGAAUGGUUAUUUGAGGUAUUAGACCAUGCGCAAGAAGGGUUAUAUAAAUGUGAGUGAAGAGGAUUACUCGGGUGGAAAAAUUCUUCUCAUUUCGGUUUUGUUUUCUUUCUUUCUAUACCAUCUUCUUUGAUUGCUCCGAAGAAGAGAAAGUUGAAGAAAACACUGCAUAAAGUAGUAAUUGUGAGGUUGAGGUCAGGAAGUGGAGAAUCUAAGGAACUAGUAAGCCUUUCUUUCUUUCUAUAUUCGUGGGUUAGAGAAAGGGGAGUAAGAAUUUCUGAAAUCUCUAGGAAGCUUCUGAGUGAUACUAAAUUUUGGGUUUUUAAGGUUUGAAAAUUUUGGUUUAACCAAUAUAUUUUAGUGUCGUGUUUAGCUUCCAAGACAAAGGAGGCUUUGGCAUUUGGAAAAGCUAAGCUGGCGAGGACAAAGGAUUUAAGGUGAGUUUUUGUACCCUACUUUUGGGGUGAUUGAUGGAUGUUGUGCUACUUUUGUGAUAUGUGUCUAUGUCUGCUCUGAGGUCUGUUUGAAUCCUAUGGUUGUACAUGAUUGUGGGGAAUGAGCAUGUCAUGCGUGCAUAAGGUUGUGUGAAUUCAUGAAAUCUAUAAGUAUGUUCUGUAUGAUAGAACUGUGUAUUGAUGUAUUGAAGAGUGACAUAUCCUUAUUAUAAUAGUAUUUGGAAUGUUAUGUGUGAAAUUUAUGUUUAUAAAAUGUGGAGUAAGGAGGGACUUACUUUGACGGGUUAGUUGAAUAUAGAAAAAUUUGUGCAAUGGAAGAAGGGGUAGAUUGAUAGGGGAUACAAGGAGGUUUGGCGACAUCGUGGAAUGAAUAUCUAUCGGUCCUUCAAGGCGACACCGUGUUGACAAUUAUCAACUUGUCAUUCUGGGCGACACCAUGUUGAUGGUUAUAAACUGGUCCUUUGUAACAACCCGUUUUCAGUGGUGUUGUAAAUAGUAGUUUCGGGACCAUAAUUCCAACCAGCGAGUUAGUAAAUAUUAUUUAUUUAAUAUUCAUAAUACUAUUAGAGUGUUGUAUUAAAUUUUGGUUUACUAAUUUUGAUGUUUGGAUAGUUAAUUAAGGAAAAAAGGACUAAAUCGUAAAAGCUAAAAAAAUUAAUUGCUAUUAGUUUAUAUGUGUUAAAUGGAUAUAAAAACAUGAAUUGAGGGCUUUAAAAGGUAAUUAGACAUUAAGUAAUUUUAUUGGAUGGUCAUGAUGUGUUAAAUAAGGAAAUUUUAAUUAAAAUUAAAGGGUAAAAAGGUAAUUAAUUAAUUAAUUAACAUAAACAAAACAAGUAAAAAUUGUCAUCUUCUUCACUUUCAUUUGGUAAAACCAAAAUCACAUUUUUAUCCCAAGCUAGUUUUCUUUGCGUAUAAGUCAAUUUUGAUCCCAUUUUUUGUAAUUUUUAUGUUUUUGAUAUCGUUGUAGCUUAAUCUAGCUUGUUCAGGGACUAUUUUGAAAAACUAUUAUAGGUUUGAAAAAUCACCAUUGAUGAAUUUGAAUCUUUUAGAUGUUAAAUGAUCGAGCUUGAUGAGUUGUUUUGAUAUGAGAUUGUUUUGUAAAGUGAAUUUGGUUAGUUUUAAGUUUAGGGACUAAAUUGAUAAUAUAUUGAACUCAUCAUGAAAUUAUUAUAAAAUUUCAUUAAUUAUGGGUUGUAAGAGAGUCAAAGAGAAUUCAGCUAACAUGUUUUGGGUUUAAUUGUGAUAAAUGUAUAAGUUUCAAUUUUAGAGACUAAAUUGAAUAAAAGGUAAAAAUUUAGGGUAAUAAUGUAAAUGUUAUUAAAGAGUCAAAUGCAUGUAUUAAGAUAUUUUAAGGUACUUGAAUUAGUUAAUUGAAUUAAAUUAUUAUAUUGAUUAAGAAACGGAUCAAUCGGUCGAUAACUGCAGAAAAGAAAAAAAUUGUUGAGUAGUCAUCGGUGUGGUUUCUGCGAGCAUUGCACUUAGGAGAAAUAAACACAAGUAAGUUUUGAUUCAAUAGUACAUCGAACAAAAGGGACUCUUGACUAUAUCCAUUCUGAUUUAUGGGGUCCAACUCUUGACAUCUCAAAAGGAGGUAAUAAAUAUUUCCUAGCUUUCAUUGAUAAUCACUCUAGAAAAUUUUGGAUCUAUUUUUUGAAAUAGAAAAACAAAGUUUUUGGAAUCUUCAAGUAGUGGAAAACGCUAUUAGAGAAAUAGACUAGAAAGCCUAUGAAGCAAUUGAGAAUGGAAAAUGGUCUCUAAUUCUAUUCAUCAGAGUUUAAUGAUGAUUGCAAAUGGGAAGGAAUAGAAAGACAUCACACUGUUGUAGGUACUCAGCAGCAGAAUGGAGUUGCUGAAAGAAUGAACAAAACUUUGCUCUAAAAGCCCUGAUGAAUGCUUUCUAACGUAGGUUUAAGGAAGGGGUUUUGGGUUGAAGUCGUAAACUUGGCAAGCUAUUUGGUAAACUGAUCUCCCCAUCGAGCAUUUAACGGUAAAGUUUCAGAAGAGAUAUGGUCAAAUAAUACUCCCAAUUAUUCUAACUUUAGAAUUUUGUAUUAUCUUGCUUAUGCAAAAGUUAGCUAAGGAAAGCUUGAACCAAUGGCCAUUAAUUUCAUAUUUCUAGUAUUCUCUGCCGGUACAAAAGGUUUUAAAUGUGGUGCUCAGAAACAAAAAAAAAUAAUCUUUAACAGAGAAGAUAUGUUUUAUGACUCUGCUAUGAUUCGUUUAGAAAGAGGGAUCACUUACAUUUAAAAACUCAACAAAUCAGAGUGUCUCAAGCAAAGUGGAGUAGAAGGAAGAAAUAGUGGUUGACGUCAUGACGAGAGGAAACAAGACAUCGCAACAUCACAACAAACAUAAACGAUGUCGUGACGAGGAAACAUAGAAUGUUGCGAUGUCAUAGAAAAAUUAUGAUAUUCGUGAUCAUAAUGUUAUUUAGGAUUAUUUGGGACUUUAUCCGACUCACAGGUAGUCUCACCAUCUAAGAAAUAUUGUGAUAGGAAAAUGUUAGAAAUUCGACCACCACAAAAAUAUUGUGAAAGGAACCUAGUGGCAUAUGCACUAAGUGUUGCAAAGAGCAUUGAUUCAAUCAAUCCUUCAUGUUAUUCCAACAUAGUUCAGACCUCAGAUUUUAGUAAAUGGCUCAUUGUUAUGGAAGAAGAGAUGGAAUCACUUCAAAAGAAUGAGACUUGGUGACUAGUAAAACCACCAAUCGGAAAGAAAAUAGUUGGUUGUAAAUGGGUGUUUAAGAAAAAGGAAGGUUCGGGUUCGAGCGACAGUAGGUAUAAGGCAAGAUUUUCGUAAAGGGUUACAUUUAAGUGAAGGGAGUUGAUUUUCAUGAUGUUUUCUCUCCAGUCGUAAAGCAUAUGUCCAUUAGGGCGCUUUUGGCCCCUUUUCCAUUAAAAAAAUAUUGAGUUAGAGCAAUUAGAUGUAAAUAAUACUUUCCUUCAUGCUGACCUCAAGGAAGACAUCUACAUGCUAUAACCGGAAGGUUUCAGAACCAAAGGUAACAAAGAUCAUGUUUUCCUUCUAUGAAAAUCAUUAUAUGGUAUAAAACAGUGUCCUAAGUAGUGGUACAAAAAGUUUGACUCCUUCAUGUUAAGUAUUGGUUUCGCACAAAGUAAUCAUGAUAAUUGUGUGUAUUUACAAUAUUUAGAUAAAGGUUCAUUCAUAUAUUUGCUGCUUUAUGUUGAUGAUGUGUUGAUAGCAGCUAAGGAUCCGUUAGAAAUUGAACGACUUAAAACCUUACUUAACUCUAAAUUUGAGAUGAAUGAUCUAGGUGCAACAAAGAAAUUGUGGGGAUAAAAAAUUGAAAGAAUAGACGUUUCAAGAAAUUAUUCUUGUCGUGACAAAGGUACAUCAAGAAGAUCCUUGAGCGAUUUGAGAUGCAAGACUCAAAAUCGGUAAGUACUAUAACAAUCCGUUUUCAGUGAAAUCGGAAUAGUGGUUUCAGGACCACAAAUAUAAACUAAAAAUAUUUAUUUUAUUAUUAUUUUAGUGUCCCAAACAUGAUAGUAGAGUCAUAUGAAAAUUUCGUUAAGAAAUUUUAACGUUUGCAUGCUUAAUUCGAUAAAAAGGACUAAAUUGCAUAAGGUGCAAAAGUGGAGUUCUAGUAGCUAAAGGUAUUAAAUAUGGACACUUAUUUAAUGGUUUUAAAUGUUAAUAAUUAAUGUUAAAGUUGUAAUUUAAUAAAUAAACUAAGUAAAAUAAUGAAAACAAAAAUGUCAUAUUGUUGGUUUAUCUUUUUGAACCAAAAAUAAAAGUGAAAAACUCCAUGGAAGGAACUUGUGCAUUCGGCUAGGGUUCUCUAAUGCAUGUAAGUGAAUUUCAGUCCCAUUUUUAAUGAUUUAUAUGUUUUUGGAGUCGUUGUAACUUAAUCUACUAGCCUAGGAUUAAAUUGUGAAACAGUUAAAGUAUUAGGGUUUUACCAUUGAUGAAUGUAUAUUUUUUUUAUGUUUGAUGAUAGAAAAUGAAUAGUUGUUGUUAGAUAAACAAGUUUGGUAAAGUGAUUUUGAGUGAAAAUGUUAAAUAGGGAUUAAAUUGAUAAAAUGUGAAAAUUAUGUGGUAAAUGUGUGAAAUAAUGAAAUGUGUGGGCUGCUAUAGGUCUAUAUAGAAUUUGACUAGCAUGGGUGUAGAUUAAAUUGCAUGAAUUUGCAUUUUUAUUAGCUAGGGACUAAAUUGUAAAGUAGUCAAAUGUUUAGGGGUAAAAUGGUAAUUUUGCCAUAACAUGAAAUUGAAUUGAAUUGAAUAGUAUAAAAUAUGAAUUAAAGUGGUUAAAUUUGAUUAUAUAAAUCAAGAAAAGCCACGUUCGAAAUUAGAUCGGGGGAAAAAUAAAGUAUUGGAUUGAUCAGUCAAUUUUCUCUGUAUUAAUUCGAGGUAAGUCGUAUGUUAAUAAGCAUUAAAGUAAUUUGCGUUUUAAAUACUUUAUUAUUGCAUACUUGAUGAAUACCACUUCACAGAAAUACUUGACGAAUAUUUGGCGACGUAUUAAAUCCCGGUUGAACUUUAGGAAUAGAUAGGAUACGAAUGAUAUGUUAUUAGGGGUUACCGUGUUUUGGGUGCUGGUCCUAUACAUUCUACUAGUGGCUGAGUUUUAAGGCAUAUGUUGCAGUUACUCGUCAGCUUGUGUGAGCAGCACCGUGUAGCUACGUCUUGACCGUCAGAUUGUGUGAGCAAACCCGAUAAUGGCUCGAGAGUGAGCAUCUAUACGAGAUAUGAGAUAGAGAUGGUUUCGACCAUGUAUUGACAUUUUGGUUUGCGAGUUACCCGAGUAUCCGGUAUUAUUCCAAAUGGUUCAAUGGGCAUAGUGAUGUUACGAAAGUAGAUGAAUUCAAUAUAAACCAGUACAUGUAUGUACGUAAAUCAUGUGAGAAUUGAAUCCAUGAGAUUUGUGAUUUCAUGUCUAACUUUGUGGAUGGAUAUAUGUUAGGCUUGUAGAUCAAAUUGAGUUGCAUUAUAUUAUGUUUAAUUACUUAAAUUGUGAUUAAAUGGUAAGAUGAGUUUUAUGCUAUACUGUAACAGCCCGAUUUUAGGCCUAGUCGGAACAGUGGUUUCGGGACCACGAAUUUGACAUAGUGAAACUUGUUUUUUAUUAUAUUUUUAUGGUCUACAGUUUUAUAGAAUGAUUUCAUGAAAAUUUCGUUCGAAAAUUUUGACGUUUGAGCACUCAAUUUAGCAAAAAGGACUAAAUUGUAAAAAGUGAAAAACUUGAGUGCUAGAGGUGUCUAAUUGUUAUGAAAUUUUAAAUUAGAUGUCCUUAAAUGGUAAUUAGACCAUUUUCUAAGUUAGUAGACAAAAAUAGACAUGAAGUAAGAUAAAUUUUAUGUUUUAAGUUAGGGGCAUUUUGGUCAUUUGGCUUAUAAAUGAAUUAAAAAUCAAAUUAAAAGCCAAAUCUUGUCCAUCUUCUUCCCAUGGCUGAAAUUCUCGAGGGGGAACCAUAGCUAGGGUUUGUUCAUCUUCCAAGCUCGAUUGUAAGUCCGUUCUAGUCCCGUUUUUAAUUAUUUUUAUGUUUUUGAGAUCUUUGUAACCUAAUCUAGCUAUUUCAAGGACUAAUUUGAAAGAAAAUCAAAGUCUAAAAUUUUACCCAUGAAGAAUUUUUUUGCAUUUUGAUGUCUAAUGGUAGAAAAUGUGUGUUUGGUUUAUGAUAAACAACUUUUGCUAGGUGAUUUUUGAUGAAAAUGUCAAAAGGACCAAUUUGUAAAAAGGUUAUAAAAUGUGUGUAAAAGUGUGAUUAAAUGAAAAACAUGGGCUGUUAUAAGCAUAAAAGAGGUUCGGAUAAGCUUGGGAGUCAAAGAAAUUGAAUCUAUUUCAAUUUACGAGCCUAGGGAUCAAUGUGUAAAAAUGUCAAAGUUUAGGGGCAAAAAUGUAAAUUUUCUCUAAUAUAAAUUUUGAACUGAAUUGAGUAAUGUUAAUAAUAAAUGAGUCGAAUUUUCUAUUAUAGAUUAAGAGAAACAAGGUUCGGACCUAGAUCGAGGGAAAAACAAAGUGUUUGACAAUUAGGUCUCUUUUUUACUAUUUUUGUACUGAGGUAAGAUCUUAUGUAAAUAAUGUAUUUUUUUAAAUAUGUUUUAAAUACUUUACUAUUGUAUGAAUUAUGAUUGACCAUUGAGCGUGUUCGAUAAAGUUACGAUAAAAGUGAAAUCCCGGUUGAACCUUAGGAAUAGAUAAGAUACAAAUGUCAUGACAUUAGGGUUACUAAGACUAUGUGUAAGACCAUAUCUGAGAUAUGGCAUCUAUAUGAGACUUCGUGUGAGACCAUAUUUGCGAUAUGGCAUCGAUAUAAGACUUCGUGUAAGACUAUAGCUGGGAUAUUGGCAUCGAUACGAGAUCCUAUGUAAGACCAUAUCUGGGAUAUGGCAUUAGUCUGGUACCGUGUGUACGGAACUCCCAAGUAUCCUUUAGUAUUCCAAGUGAUUCAACGGGUAAUUUAAUGAGUAUAUCAAAGAUGAAUUGUGUGUAAAUCCAAUUAGAGAUGACUUAGUAUGUACGAAAACUCAUACGUGAUGAGCUCGUUAUGUGAAUAACCCUCAAUAAGGUUAUGAUUGAGUAAGUUAUGAUUAUAAGAUCUUGAUAAUAUUUAAUGUUAAUUGGAUGUUAAAUGUUGGUUUAUGAUGCCUAUUAUUUGCAUGUGAACUUACUAAGCUAUAUAUCUUACUCCCAUUUUCUUUCCAUUGUCUUAUAGUGUCACCAAGCUAGCUCGGGGAUUGAAGACUGUUGGAGAUCCACUCACACUAUCAACUGAUUAUUUUGGGUACCAAUGAAUUUGACAUUUUGAGUUAUGAGGUGUAUAGGGACUUGGUUAUUUUGUUAUGUGUCAUAAUUGAAUUGGCCUAAUACGUUGGCCUAUAUUGGUUGAUAAUUCAUUUUGUAAAUGGCCAUUGAAAUUGGAUAAUAUUGGUUUAAGUAUAUAUGCACAUGAUGAUAUUUUCAUGGAUGUAGAAAUUUUUAUGGUUUAAGUUGAUAAGUAUGUGAUGAUUGUAUUUGAUAAAUGGUAGCAUGUGAAUGAUGUGUGGAUGUCUUGAUUGUGGCUGAAUUGGUCGAAUGUAAUUGCUUGGAUUGGUGUUAUGUUUUGUUCUGUAGGUGCGUGCAUGGAAGGGUGGCAAAAUGACUUGGUAAAUAACCUUAUUUUUAUCCACACGGGUAUGUGUCUAGGCCGUGUGUGAUACACGGCUUGCCCCAUCGGCGUGUGUUCCGGCCGUGUGUCCCUGCACCUUAAUUGUUGCAAAAUAGAAUGCUCAAAAUUGAGCACAUGGGUGGAGACACGGAUGUGUGUCUCAACCGUGUAGAUGACACGGCCUCAGGCACGGGUGUGUGCCCUGGGCGUGUGAAGUCCACACCUAUUUUAUGAAAAAUUAUGAAAAUUAAAUCGACCACAUAGCCUAGCACACGGGCGUGUGACUUGGCCGUAUGACUUCAAUUUGUUCUUGGGUGACAAACAGAGAGUUACACGGGUUAGGGACACGGGUGUGUGUGACCACACGGCCUGUCCACACGGGCAUGUCCCUAGCCACAAGGGCAUGUGGCUCUUAAAACAUGAAAAAUUUUCUAAGUGUUGUGAAAUUUUCUAAAAUUCUCGGUUUAGUCCCGAACCGCUUCCAAUGCAUGUUUUGGACCUCGUAGGUUCGUUUUAGGGACGAUAUGAAUGUAUAUGAAAAGAUUUAAAUUUGGAUGGAAAUUUACGUCUCAAUUUUGUAUGUUUGCUUGUGUAUAAGUCCGAUAAUGCCUCGUACCCUAUUCCGAUGUUGGAUACGAGUAAGGGGUGUUACAUAUACAAACUUACUAAGCUUAAUUGCUUACUUUGUUUACUUUUUUGUGUUCUAUAGUAAUUCGAAAGCUCGCUUGUUUUGGAAGUUCAAACUCUUAUUUUGGUACUUUUGGACUUUAUGUAUUUUGGUUAUAUAACAUGUAUAGGUCAUUUGGCUAUUGGAAGCCUAUAUGUUUUGUUAUGUAAUUAGCCAUUUAAUGUGGCUUGAUUUGGUAUAUGUUAGUAUGUAUGUAUAUAUAUGUGUGGCUAGUCUCAUAUUGUAUGAUUUAUAAUUUCCAUAGGAAUGCUUUGAUUGUGUAUUGGUAGAUUAGUACAUAAUAGUUGAACUUGAAAAAUGGUGUGCAUGUUAUAUUUAAGCAAGAUAGUGCAUAUAUGUAAUUGACCAUUUAGGUAGUUUUUGAAGGUGAUUUUGGCAUGUUUUAAAAUGAUCAUUUGAGAUACCAAGAACUUAGGAUUGUUGGUAAUGAAAUUGCAUGAUAUAGACUUGGUUGUGGUUGGUUUGAAUGCCUAUUGAUGAUAUAGUCAUAUGUUAUUUGGUAUGUGUAGGUUGAUACCACAUUGGGUGAGAAAUAAGGCUUGGAAAAUGGCCUAUUUUUGUCCACAUGGGUAGAGACACGGGCGUGUGUCUCAGCCGUGUGUUACAUAAGGCCAGAUGACACGGUCGUGUGUCCCGUGAUACUUAUUUAUAAAACAAGUCAGCAGCUUCACACGGCCUAGCACACGGCUUCGCACACGGGUGUGUGAGGCCACUUUGAAAAGUAUACGGCUUGGCACACGGGCGUGUGAUCUGGCCGUGUGACCCAAGUCAGUGAGUUACACAGGGUUGGACACGGACUGGGACACGGUUAUGUGAUCCCAUUUUGAAUGUCCAUACGAGCUAUGACAAGGGGCAACUGUCGUAUAUUGUAAUAGUUAAAGUGCCAUACAUCUCACCAAGGAUCAAAUGUACCAUAUAACUUUGUUUGAGAGGUGAUCAUUCAAGGAAAAUUUUAGAUUCACAAAAAUGGCACAGAACACAAUCUGACCAACAUGUUGACAAAAAGCCUUCUAGUUUCAAAGUUCAAGCAUUGCUUGGACUUGGUAAGUAUCCGACAAAGAUCCAAUUAGGCCUAUAAUAGGGCUUGACAAAGGAGUUAAGUAAAAGACGAGUCAAGGUGGAGAUUUGUGGAAGUGUGCCUCGCAUUUAGACCAAAAUAGCAAGAGAUGUCUUGGCGAGUUAAAGCUUGAUGUUGUGAUGAACAAAUGACGUCACGAUGAGAAGAGAAUCUUCAUCCCGACAACACGAUCGUUCUUCGUCCCAAUGACGCAAAAGCCACGUGGCAAUGUGGCAACGUGUUCCUUAAGUUUCUUGGUUUUCUUCUCUUAGUUAAACUCUGAUUAACCUAGGGAUUCUAUGAAUUUCAGCCUAUAAGUAGGCUAUAGUUACCCUAGGUUUAUACAACAGAAAAUAUACAGAUUGAGAGAAUUCUGUGUUUUUUAGUUUGAAGGAUUUUUCUUUUCUUGAUUCUCUCCAUCUUUGUACUUCUUUUCUAUUAAUAAAAUCUCCUUUUACCCGUGAUUUUUUUGUCCUCUUCAUAAGAGUUUUUUUCAUGAAAAUUUGUAUAUUCGAUCUUUUCAAUUUCUACUUUACUAUUGUUGUUAUUGAUUUAUCCCCAACAAAGACAAAAGUGAAUUUAUUUGUAAAUUGGUAUUAUACUUUAGCGGCAUACACGUUCAUAAGUUUUUACAAGUUGGAAUAUGCAAUAUUUAUGGCAAUACUCAAUCGUUGUGUAAUUAGGAAUAAUUUUCAUAAUUUUUUGACAAUUUGUAAAAAGAAAUAUAUUUAAAAAAACUAAUAAUGCAUAAAUGAUAUAUUGUUUUUUUUAAACUUAAUGUAAACGUUAUUUAAAGAAUUCAAUUUGGCAUAAUCGGCUUUAUAUAAAAGAUAUUUUUUUUUGUAUUAUUAUGAUGGCUAAUUAUACCCUUUAUAUCCAUUUUUAAUUUGGCAGUUUUCUAAUUUACAUUUUGGUUCUUCUUGCAAGGAAUAUAUUUAUAGCUUGUUGCGAAUAUUCAGUGCGGAGGCAGGGUCCCGUAACAUAAAAUAUAAAAUUUUUUAUUUAAAAUUUAUGAAAUUUUAAAUUAAUAAUAAUAAAAUUUAAUUUAAUCUUUUAAAAAUUAUAAAGAUAUAAUCUAUUAAAAUGAUAAAAUUAUUUUAUGUUACGAUUUUUUUCUUAAUUUAUCACUGCGAAUAUUAUGUUAUGAUUUUAUAUUAUUUAAGUUUUUAUUGAGUUUCUUUUCCUUAUUUUAUUUUUUUGAAAACUCGACAUUUCUCAUAUAUAGAGAAUCACGUGCGAAACAUGUAACUGUCAUAUGUAAUGUGAUUUAUUUUAUUAGGGUCAAGAAGAUGAAGAUUGAAACAGGAACUUCACAUCGCAAAAUAUCAACAAUUAUGCUAUACAUUUAACUCUACUCAAUUAACAAUUUAUCUAUAAUGCUGAGGUGCCAGUGAAACAUUGGUGCCACUUGUCAGUCAUUGAGGUCUUCAAGAACUGAAAAAUUCUUCUUCUUUCUUCUAAAGAAUAUAUAUUAAAUUUGUCCAGGCAGUCCACUUUUGAUUACUUUGAGCUUUGGUUUUAUUGAAAUAGAGCUUAUAUGGACUUUUCAAGCUAAAUUAAGUUUUAAUUUCGAUGUUUAAUUUAGUUUUAAAAAAUUUAAGUUGAAGUUAGGGUGGUUUAAGGAGUAAAUGGGAUUUAGUUUUACUUUGAUUUUUAGGCUAAAUUAAAUUAAAUUUUUGUUCUUUGUCCCAUUAAAUCAACUUAGGUAAACAAAAUCUAUGGUCACUUUUGUUUACUUUAGAUUAAAUUUCAGUCAUAUCUAUUUGAAAUAUUACAUUUUAGUCACUUACAUUAUUGUGUUGUAAUAUUUUAGUCACUGAACCUUUAAUUGCUGUUAACGAUGUAACAGUAAACUAACGUGACACGUUAAAUUAUCAUUCAAAUAAAAAAUUAGGUUAAAUUAUAUAAUUGAUCCCCAUAUUUUUUUUUGUUUUGAGUAAUUUACUUUUUUUAUGUUCUUUUAAUUUUUUUUUCUAUUCUCUUUUGGUUCUCCCUCCGUCUUCCUAUCUUUUUCAUUUCUUUUAACGUAUUAGGAAGUUGAAUUGGCAGUGAAGAAUGAAGGAGGAAGUCGAAAGCUAUAAUUGCCUAUAACCAAAACCCAUAAACACAUACCAUCUGCUAACUAUCAAAACCCUCCACCACCAUCCGUCAUCUUCAUUUCAUCCAUUAACACCUUCACCACUACCAUGACCUCCUUUCAAAAACAUCUCAAAAAAUCCCUUGGACUACCCAAUAUCGAAUCUCUAUCAUCAGCCAUUAAAUUGACUCGAUUUUCUGAUAUGUACUCCUUUUCAUGAAUACCUCCUUCCUAACUGUUAGGAUUGACAAGAAAGUUGUCGGAGUACCUCGAACCCCUUGACCUGAAUCUAACCCCUCUCUUUUCUCCAUUUCUUUCUCUCUCUCACUCUCGACACUUUUUUUCUUUGUUGCAAGUCUAAUCUUUGGCUCUUUAUGAUUUUUUGGGGCUUAUUAAUUGUUGUUUACUUGGAUUCUUGAUUGAUUUGAAUGUGAGUUUAUUUGGUGAGGGGUGAUAUUAUUGGGUUUGUCAUGAAUGAGAUCAUGGUAGUGGUGAAUGUGUUAGUGGAUGAAAUGAAGAUGAUGGGUGGUGGUGGAGGAUUUUGAUAGUUAGUAGAUGGUAUGGGUUUAUGGGUUUUGGUUAUAGGCAAUAAUAACUUUCGACAUCCUCCUCCUUUCUUCAUUGCCAAUUUGACUUCCAGAUAUGUUAAAAGAAAUGGAGAAGGUAGGAAAACAUAACAAGAAGUAGAAGAGAAUGGAAAAAAAAGGAAAGUUAAAAUAUCAUAAAAGAAAAAAAUUUAAAUUGCUCAAAAAAAAAAUGGGGACCGAUUGUAUAAUUUAACCUAAAAUUUUUGUUUGAAAUGAUGAUUUAAUGUGCCGUGUCAGCUUACCAUUACACCAUUAACAAUAAUUAACGGCAUAGUAACUAAAAUGUUAUGUAACACCCCUCACCCGUAUCCAACACCGGGACAGGGUUUGAAGUGCUACCGGACUUAAACUCAAUCAACUAUAUAAAAUCAGGCCGUAAAAUUUCAAUCAAUUUAAAACUUUUCAUUUCACAUAAAAUUUGUCUCUUGAACGGGCUCACGAGGCCCAAAACAUGCAUUAGAGGCGGUUCGGGACUAAAUCGAGAAAUUAAGAAAAACUUAAAAAAUUUCAUGCUUUAAGGCUCUACACGCCCGUGUGGAUAUAGACCGUGUGGUCACACACGACCGUGUGGUCACACAUGCCCGUGUGGCUUGGGACACGCUCGUGCCCUUAGUUCGUGUGCAACACUGACUUUAAAACACGGCCAUGUCACACGCCCGUGUGACCUACCCGUGUACUAAUCUGACUUAAAAUUUUAAGUGCAGGGGACGCACGGUUGGACAACACGCCCAUGGGAUAGACCCUGUGUCACUCAUGGUCUAGACACACGCCAGUGUCUACCGUCUGGACAAUUACAAGGCUAUUUUCCAAGCCAUUUGUCAGCCUCACAACAUAUGCAUAUAUACUUAUCCAAUGACAUACAACAUGGCAUAAGUGAGCUCUUAAAUAUCUACAAACAUGUUAUGCUCAUGACAAUUUCUUAUGCAAUAAAUAUCAUAGAAUUUACUCACAUCAUUACCACAUACUUGUCAUAAGUAUCAUUACGUCACAAACCUCAUGUCCAUCACUAGGCAUGCAUAAUCAUAUCCACAAACCAUUCAUGAGGCAUUAUUAACUAUUUACCAAUCACUUAAUCUUGCAUCAGUUACUAACUCAUCAAUGACUCUCAAUUCAAUCUCUAGGUAUACAUGUUGUAAGCCCUAUCACAAGAGAUAAUAACAUACAUGCAUAAGAAUAAUCAUAUAGGCCCAUACCGUCAUUAGCCGACAUAGGCCAAUUCACAUGACUAUAUACUACCUUAAUAACAAGCCAAUGCCUUUGGCUAAAUCAUAAUAUCACAUACUCAACAUUAAAACCCUAUACAUGCCAUAGACUCGAAACACUAGGAUUUACUUACCCCGAUAGCGUUAACUCGACAGUGUGAUAAUAUCUCUGACGGCCUCCAACCCGAGCUAACUUGGCAACCCUAGGGAACAUGGGAAAGAAAAUGGGGGGUAAGCUUUACGCUUAGUAAGUUCAUAUGAAAACAAUAAGCAACUCAUUAACAUGUUUUAUCAAUGUUUACAACAUAUUCUCAAGUUCACGACAAGCUGUCUUCCUGAGCAACAGUCACUAAAUUAAUUAUAUCUGGAGCUACGAAACUCCAAAUUAAGUUCUGUUGAUUUUUCUUGAAACUAGACUUAUGUAUCUUUCAACCAUAAAAUUUAUAUAAUUUUUGGUUUAGCCAAUUAGUACAGUUUAUUCCUCAAAGUUACCCCUGAUUCAUUGUCUUACAGUCCCGACCCUUCUGCAUUAAAGUUCAAUUAUCUCAUAGCACAUGACUCGAAUAAUGUUUUUAUCUAUUUCUCUUGAAAAUAGACUCAUUAAGGAUUCUAAAAAUAUAAAUCAUAACUCAUAUCUAUUUUUUUAAAAUUUAUAAUGAUUUUCUCAAUUCAGAACAGGGGAUCUCAAAGUCAUUCUGACUAUGUCCCAUGCAACUUCAAAUAUCUCAUUACAGAAAAUUCUUUUGCUUACACGGUUUCUUUUAUAAGGAACUAUACUCAAUAAGAUUUAUUCCUAUAUUUUAUUCAGAUUCUAACUAAUUUUCCACUAUUUUUAAUGUAUUUUCAAAUUUACACUACUGCAGUAACUCAAAUCUGUCAAGGGUAAGUUAUUCAUGAUCAUUGUUCACAAAAUUAAUACAACAUCAUUUCAUCCAUCAUGGUAAGAACACAUAUUUAUACAUCAUAGAUCAUCACAUGUCAAGGCAUUCUCAUAGGCUUAGUGUACAUACCUGCACAACUCGUAACAUGACUCAAGUGCGUACUCACCAAUGACUUACCUCAUUGGGACCAUCAUCAACUCUUUCCUCGGAUUACCCGUUGAACACUCGGAAUACUAAUUGGAUACUCGGAAAAACCUUUGCACAUAAGUGCCUCAAUUGUAGCUAAAGCUACCUCAUAUCUCAUGACAUUUAAAUGCUCACUCCCGAGCUAGUCAUCUAGACUCAUAAUUCCUAGUGACAUGUCACUCGUAUCCUAUUCUAUUCCUAAGGUUCAAACGAGAUUUUUCCUCGCCUAUUAAGGCUUUGUCUUAUAUAUUUCUGUUAAUCACAUACACUUAAUAUUUGUACAAUUCAUGUAAUGAUAACAUUUAAAUACAUGUAUAGCAUGGUAUUGUUUACAUAUGAACUUACCUCGAUACGACAAAGGUGAAAAAGACGUAAUCAUCCCUUAAUCGAUUUCUUUCCGUUCUAAGUCUAAAUCUCGAUUUUUCAACAUUAUAAAGGGAGUUUCUUUACUGAAAUUUUUCAGCUUCUAAACCCUUUCUUUGUUGCCAUUUUAGGUGGAGAGAAGAUGAAGAAAAGAUGAUAUCUUUCUUUUCUUGAUUUUAUUACGAAAAGAUGAUAUCUUUCUUUUCUUUAUUUUAUUCUAUUUUUAGUCAAAUUAGUCACCUAAAAGCCACAAAUUUUGGCUUUUUCGACCAAUUUGUCUCCCUUGGCCGGCCAUCACACUUUCAAUGGCCUAAUUUCCUUUUAAAGGUCCCUAAUUUAAGAUACAAAGCAAUUUAACACCUUUAGGCAUCAAAACACAACUUUUACCUUUUACGCGAUUUAGUCCGUUUUCGAAAUUGGACUAGAAAUCGCUAAAAUUAACUUACCAAAAAUUACAUGCACUUAUAAAAUCAUAUUAUAACACAUAAAAUAACAUCAAAAUAAUUUUCUCUGGCCCCAGAAUAGUGGUUCCGAAACCAUUGUUUUGACUAGGCCCAAAAUCGGGCUGUUACAUUUCUUCCCUCAUUUAGGGAUUUUCAUCCCCGAAAAUUGUACCAGAAAAAGUUGCUCUCAACUUUCACGAGUCACUUAUAUCUUUUUCUCACAGCUUACAAAACAACUCAGCUCAAGCUCAUACUCAGGAUUUCUGUAACCUUUCCACAAUUACCAUAAGAGUCUCGGCUCAAUUCGAAAUGCUGAAAACUGACAUUCUAAGAACUAUAAGCUUAGAAACACAGCUCGUCCAAAUCUGUCUAACAAUACCUCUGUACAUACCAAAAUAGUUAUGCAGACUACUAUCAUCAAUCUAUCACAAUCCAAUAUGGUAUCUCUUAUUUACCCGGAGAAGGGAGACAUCCUGGUACAUAAUUCAUACUAGUCCUUUCUCAUUUUCUUCUCUCUCUUUUUUUUUUCUUUUUUUUUCAUCAAAUGCCGUCACUGACAAUCUUAAAUCUCGAAUAUAUCUGAUAAUCGGCCUUACCUUGUAAACAAUUCACUACCCUUUGGAAGAACAGAUAGGGUGCUACUAAGAACUCUCUACACAAUUCUCUACAUAACUCGGAGCUUCUUGGUAUUCAAACCUUACUUACUUAUAGCCUCCUCUAUAUGCUCAGGCUCUUAACUGUUUCAAAACUUUACUAUAACCACAUCUCUCGAAUAAAAAAAUCUAACUAAUUAGGUUUUUCGUAUCAUACUUAUAAGAAUAAAACCUCAUCAUUCCUGACUGUACGACUACUUACCAAGGAACACGUAACGCUAUUCUCGAGCUAAAGAAUAAACUUAAAUGCACAUAAAUCAGAUUUACUUUUGCAGAAUAGCCAUUCUUUACCCCAAGAAUUUUAAAGAACUCUUGACAUUGAAAUCCUCGCACUUCUAUAGUCGAGCCAGAAGCAUAAUCAUAGUAGAUUCUAAUGUCGCAGGUCAAAGAUUACUCGUAAAGAUAACCCAAGCUCGAUAAUUCUCGAAACAAGAACGAGAGAAAAACCAAUAUAAGAAAUUCCAAGAUAUAAGACUAUAUCAGAGAUCCGAGAAUGUAAUCUAGAAGAAAAUAAUAAAGAUGAUCCGAAAAAUCCCUCAGAGAAAACCAAAAGGAAAUUACUGUCUGUACGCUCUAGAAUUCCUCAUAACAGAGAUAAUAUAAUUCCCGCAUAUAUAGACCAUAAUCAAUAGAACAUCAGAAUAAUCUCACAUAGAUUUUUACUAUCAACUUCAUUCCAAUAUAUCAGGAUAGAAAUCUGAAGAGAUGGAGAAAUGUCGAUCAUAACUAACUGGACCAAUAGGGCUUUUCAUCUAAUAUCAUAGUCACUUGCAUCCUCAUGCGAUAGAAUUCCCACUCGAAAGGGAUAACCAUACGUAUUUCCCAGAAUAGAGGAAAACAUAGAAUACUUAGAAGAGAAAGAUACCCAUAACUUUUAUUUAAUUGAAUCUGACAUACUUAGAUAUCUGUGCAAGUCCGACAUUAUUCCUUUAACUAAUUCUGUCUUCACUAAUCCCAUACUAUUCAAUUAUUGUACUCUUUAGUUUCACUUUUGCAAGCUUAUGCAACAUAUCUCUCGAGAAUCUCAUUGUAUAACUCUAUUCUGGUAAGAGGGCGAAGAUUGUAAAGCCUCUAAACUUUUGACUCUCAAGCAAAAACAUAUUCAACAACAACAUAGCAUUACGCACAUUGAUUCAAACAUUUCAAAUUUCCAACUUGUUAGAAACACAUUUUCACAUAUCUCAGUAAUACAUGCAACUUUAUUUCAUGUGAAUAUUAGCUAAACAUAAGUGAAUUUAUCACAAUUCAAACUUUCAUUUCUUUUACCCAAAUUACUAUUAAUGUCUUAUCAAGUUCCCACAUUUAGUCUUAAUCACUUGCUAGUAUUUAUCAAAUUGGAGAAUGUCUUACGGUUUUGAGUACAUCGCGUACUUGAUACCAUAGUCCAACUAUGGUCUUGUACUAGCUCUAAUCCAUCUGUGUCGAUACCGUGUCCCAGACAGGUCUUACACUAACACAUGUAACCGUGCCGAUGUAUGUCCCAGACAUGUCUUACACUAGCACAUCUCGUAGCCGACGCAUGUCCCAGACAUGUCUGACACUGGAUAACAUCUUGAGGCCGAUGCAUGUCCCAAACAAGUCUUACACUGGCUCUCAUAAUGUGGUUGAUGCAUGUCCCAGACAUAUCUUACACUAGCCCUCGUUUCAAUGCCGAUGUCAUGUCCCAUACAUGGUCUUACACUGGCUCUCAUUAUGUGGCCGAUGCUUGUCCCAGACAUGUCUAACACUGGCAUACAUAUCUCAUGUAUUGCCAUGGUCCAACCAUGGUCUUUUCCGUCAAUUCAUUAGUGAACGAUCAUACUCAUUCCUUGUGUUCUACCCAAUUUGAUCUUUCAAUAUUACAACUUUCAUGCUAUUGUGACAUUUAUGAUUCUAUAAUUGAGAUUAUAAACCAUAACAUUACGGCAUCUUGACUUCAUUAAUCUAGACAUAAAUGUCAACCUCAUGUAUAUACUGAUUAUUAGUCAUGCAAUAAAAGCAUUCAUACAUACAUUCUGUCAUUUCAAGCAAAUUUUUUUCUUAUAAACACUUGGCCAAUCAAGUGGGACAUUUAACAUUGUAUGAAUACUAAUAUGCAUAAAAGAGCUUUUCACAACUUAACUUUGUUUUAUUCCACUAUUUCACAUUCUUUAACUCAAGAGUAUCACAUAAUGAAUACUAGUUCAUGUAAAAAAAAUCAUGAAUUUCUUUUCAUACCUUUCCUAUUUUCAGCAUAUCACAAGCAUGAUUCAAUAAUUCUCAACUUUACUCUCAUCUCUAUCAAGAUUUGCUCGGUUGGAAGUCAUUCCUGUCUUAACCAACAGUUUUGCUAGGGCCAGAAGACAUCACACUAUUACGAAUAAUACUAUGGCAUGUAUAGCUAGACUCUUUUACGCUAGAUUAGUCUGAGAAUCGACUAAAUAAUACUCUGAUACCACUAAAUAUAACACCCCUCACCCGUAUCCAACGCCGGGACAGGGUUCGAAGUGCUACCGGACUUAAACUCAAUCAACCAUAUAAAACCAGGCCGUAAAAUUUCAAUCAAUUUAAAACUUUUCAUUUCAUAUACAUUUUGUCCCUUAAACGAGCUUACGAGACCCAAAACAUGCAUUAGAGGCGGUUCGGGGCUAAACCAAGAACUUAAGAAAAACUUAAAAAAUUUCAUGUUUUAAGGCUUAACACGGCCAUGUGGAUAUAGACCGUGUGGUCACACAUGCCCGUGUGGCUUGAGACAUGCCCGUGCCCUUAGCCCGUGUGCAACACUGACUUUAAAACACGGCUAUGUCACACGCUCGUGUGACCUACCCGUGUACUAAUCUGACUUAAAAUUUUAAGUGCAGGGGACGCACGGUUGGACAACAUGCCCAUGGGGCAGACCGUAUGUCACUCACGGUCUAGACACACGCCAGUGUCUACCGUGUAGACAAUUACAAGGCUAUUUUCCAAGCCAUUUGUCACCCUCACAACAUAUGCACACAUACUUAUCCAAUGACAUACAACAUGGCAUAAAUGAGCUCUUAAACAUCUACAAACAUGUUAUGCUCAUGACAAUUUCUUAUGCAAUAAAUAUCAUAGAAUUUACUCACAUCAUUACUACAUACUUGUCAUAAGUAUCAUUACGUCACAAACCUCAUGUCCAUCACUAGGCAUGCAUAAUCAUAUCCACAAACCAUUCAUGAGGCAUUAUUAACUAUUUACCAAUCACUUAAUCUUGCAUCAGUUACUAACUCAUCAAUGAAUCUCAAUUCAAUCUCUAGGCAUACAUGCUGUAAGCCACAUCACAAGAGAUAAUAACAUACAUGCAUAAGAAUAAUCAUAUAGGACCAUACCGUCAUUAGCCGAUAUAGGCCAAUUCACAUGACUAUAUACUACCUUAAUAACAAGUCAAUGCCUUUGGCUAAAUCAUAAUAUCACAUACUCAACAUUAAAACCCUAUACAUGCCAUAGACUCGAAACACUAGGAUUUACUUAUGCCGAUAGCGUCAACUCGACAGUGAUAAUAUCUCUGACGGCCUCCAACCCGAGCUAACCUGACAACCCUAAAGAACAUGGGAAAGAAAAGGGGAGGGGUAAGCUUUACGUUUAGUAAGUUCAUAUGAAAACAAUAAGCAACUCAUUAACAUGUUUUUAUCAAUGUUUACAACAUAUUCUCAAGUUCAUGACAAGCUAUCUUCCUGAGCAAUAGUCACUAAAUUAAUUAUAUCUGCAGCUAAGAAACUCCAAAUUAAGUUCUGUUAAUUUUCCUUGAAACUAGACUAAUUUAUAUUUCUACCAUAAAAUUUCCAUAAUUUUUGGUUAAGCCAAUUAGUACAGUUUAUUCCUCAAAGUUAUCCCUGAUUCACUGUCUGACAGUCCUGACCCUUCUGUACUAAAGUUCAAUUAUCUCAUAGCACAGGACUCGAAUAAUGUUCUUGUCUAUUUCUAUUGAAACUAGACUCAUUAAGGAUUCUAAACAUAUAAAUCAUAACUCAUAAAUAUUUUUUUACAAUUUAUAAUGAUUUUCUCAAUUCAGAACAGGGGAUCUCAAAGUCAUUCUGACUCUGUCCUAUGCAACUUCAAAUAUCUCAUUAUAGGAAAUUCUUUUGCUUACACGGUUUCUUUUAUAAGAAACUAUACUCAAUAAGAUUUAUUCCCAUAUUUUAUUCAGAUUCUAACUAAUUUUCCACUAUUUUAAUGUAUUUUCAAAUUUACACUACUACAGUAACUCAAAUCUGUCAAGGGUAAGUUAUUCAUGAUCAUUGUUCACAAAAUUAAUACAACAUCAUUUCAUCCAUCAUGGUAAGAACACAUAUUUAUACAUCAUAGAUCAUCACAUGUCAAGGCAUUCUCAUAGGCUUAGUGUACAUACCUGCACAACUCGUAACAUGACUCAAGUGCGUACUCACCAAUGACUUACCUAAUUGGGACCAUCAUCAACUCUUUCCUUGGAUUACCCGUUGAACACUCGGAAUACUAAUUGGAUACUCGGAAAAACCUUUGCACAUAAGUGCCUCAAUUGUAGCUAAAGCUACCUCAUAUCUCAUGACAUUUAAAUGCUCACUCUCGAGCUAGUCAUCUAGACUCAUAAUUCCUAGUGACAUGUCACUUGUAUCCUAUUUUAUUCCUAAGGUUCAAACGAGAUUUUUCCUCGCCUAUUAAGGCAUUGUCUUAUAUAUUUCUGUUAAUCACAUACACUUAAUAUUUGUACAAUUCAUGUAAUGAUAACAUUUAAAUACAUGUAUAGCAUGGUAUUGUUUACAUAUGAACUUACCUCGAUACGACAAAGGUGAAAAAGACGUAAUCAUCCCUUAAUCGAUUUCUUUCCGUUCUAAGUCCAAAAUAUCGAUUUUUCAACAUUAUAAAGGGAGUUUCUUUGCUGAAAUUUUCUAGCUUCUAAACCCUUUCUUUGCUGCCAUUUUCGGUGGAGAGAUGAUGAAGAAAAGAUGAUAUCUUUCUUUUCUUUCUUUUAUUCUAUUUUUAGUCAAAUUAGUCACCUAAAAGCCACAAAUUUUGGCUUUUUUUGACCAAUUUGUAUCCCUUGGCCGGCCAUCACACUUUCAAUGGCCUAACUGCCUUUUAAAGGCCCCCAAUUUAAGAUACAAAGCAAUUUAACACCUUUAGGCAUCAAAACACAACUUUUACCUUUUACGUGAUUUAGUCUUUUUUCGAAAUUGGACUAGAAAUCGCUAAAAUUAACUUACCAAAAUUUACAUGCACUUAUAAAUUAUAUUAUAACACAUAAAAUAAUAUCAAAAUAAUUUUCUUCGGCCUCGGAAUAGUGGUUCUGAAACCACUGUUCCGACUAGGCCCAAAAUCAGGCUGUUACAUGCUACAACAUGAUAACGUAAGUGAUUAAAAUGUAAUAUUUAAACAUAAGUGAUUAAAAUAUAACUUAUGGUAAACAAAAGUGACCAUGAGUGUAGUUUACCCAUUAACUUAUGGUUGAACCCUUUUUAAUUAAGUGAAUUAUGUUUUAAAACUUAAACCCAAUUUUCCUAAAGCCAAGACCAAUUUAGUUUGAGGCCUCAUUUUUAGAAUCAGUCUAGGCCUAUUUGAAAUGAUGUUUGAGGUUGCUUAGGGCUCGGUUUUAGCCCAAUCGCAAAAUUCUCACUACAGGCCCACUCUUUUUAUUGUAAUUUUUACCAGGCUUCAAUUUGAUCUCCGGCCCUUUGGAAGCCAUUUUUAUGAAUAGUCAAUUUAUUUUAAAAUUAGCUCGAGAGCCCACUUUUUUAUUCAGUUUCAAGCCCUAAUUUCCAUAUGUCCGCUAAGUGGGAACACACAAAAACAAGUAAAUUCUUCAGCCAUGUGCACUACAAUGGGUAUUGGUGCAAUACAAGGAUUAACAGAGGAGAAAAACAAUAUUUUAAAACACAUUACAUAUUUAAUACUUAUAUUUUAAUUUGAUCAAUUUUAAUUUUUGUAUUAUUUUAAUUUUAAAAAUUUUGUCCUGACUAAACAGUAUCUGCUAAAUUUGUUCAGUUAAAUUCUACUAUUAAUUCUUUAUUAUACGUAAAGUUAGAAAUUUAGUUCAUAUUAUCUAAUUGAAUAAUUCUUAGUCUUUAUAUUUUUUAGAUUUCAAAAGUUUAAUUUUAAUGUAAACGUUAGUCAUUAAAAUAUGAAAAUUAAAAAUGAUUAAAUUAAAAUAUGUAAUGGCAUAAUUUGACUAAAAAUGGAUCAAAAGAUAUGAAUAAUACUAGGUUAAAAGCAAUGAUUGAUAGUAAUUCUGAUUAACGAACCGAUAUAUAAUUUUUAAGAUUGAAAAUAUAAUAAAAUAAAACAAAGGAAUGAAGGUUGGGAUUAAAAUGAUGGCCAUUGUUUAUACCAGUACAAGAGACCAAAACAACAUAGACAUUUGACGCUAGAGGAUGAUCUACUCGAAGCAGUACAAAAUUUUAACUCUUUCAACUAUGUUUUAGCUUUUAAAUUAGAAUUAAAAUGAUAAAUUUUGUAAAUAUUAAAGCUUAAAUUAGUUGAUUUUUUUAGAUUUAGGAUUAAAUUGAUUAAAUAUGUAAAUUUUGGAGGUCUAAAUUUGUUAUUAGACCAAUAAAACAAAUCUUAAGUUAGACUUUUAUUAGAUAAAUAACCGGAGAGUGACUCAAAUAUUUAAUUUCGAAAAAUUGAGUAAUUAAAUUUAAAAAAAUAAUUGAAUGACCAAAAUAGAACAAAGUGGACUACUAUUUUUAUAGCUUAUCUAAAAAAUUAUAGAAAUAUAAAAAUUCAUGAAAAGUUUUAAGAAUUAAAAAAUCCAAAAAAAAAACUAAAAUAAAUCUAAAAAUACCUAGAAUUUUUAUUUUAGAUAUUCAUUUGUCAAAAAAUUAUUAUGCACCUAAAAUAGAAAAAUAAAAUAAAAAAACCUUUAAUAAAUUUUAAUUUAUUGGAUGUCUGUACAAAAGUUAACAACGUCAACAAAAUAACUAAAAAUAAUACCAAUUUAGUUAAUAGAGGUCAAGUUCAAGUAUCAACUAGGGAAAAAAAUAUUUGGUUUCCAACUAUAGUUGUUUGAAUCAGAUCGGUUAGAUUGAAAAUUGACUGAGAAAAGCAUCGGACUAAUUAACCUGUGAACCGAUAUAAAUUAAUUAAACUAAAAUAAAAGAUGAAUUAAAGUGAUAGUUAAAUCAGAUGUUUAUUUUAAAAUAUUUUUAUUUUAAUAAUUUAUUUAAUCCAACCGAUUAUCACAUUAUGGAAAUGAUAAUGGGUUGUGAGUUAUGAAAUCCUUGCGUAUAGUCCAUUCUAUCCAAAUAAUUUCUUUUUAAAAGAAAAUCCGAAUUUUAGUGUGUGGAAUAUUAAAAGAAGCGAUUCUAAUGUUAACGUCAACAAACAUUCCAUGCAUUACGCGGUGAAACAUCCUGAAAUUAGAAAUUGAAAGGCUAUAUAAAUCACAGACACCCCCACCCUUAAUCAUUGUGCAGUGCGGUGCUUCUCUAUUGUCAAAUACAAUAAACCUUAGAGAAAAACUGCAUUUCUCCAUCCCCAAUCUUUUUCCUUUUUAAUAAACCCCAACAAACCAAAAUGGCCCGCCAAAUUGUUGUUCUUGCUUUGGCCAUCAUGGCCCUCUUUGCCUUGGUUUCCACCUCUGCUGCGGCCCCCGCCCCCGCACCCGGUGGCAGCCCUUCAGGUUCACCUGGAGAUGCUAGCUCCCCUCCUUCUCAGGCCAGCGCUCCUAGUCCUAGCAGUGGUGCCGCACUUGAGGUCUCGGCUAUUGCCGCAGGAGCAGCCGCCGUUGCUAGCUAUUUUAUGUUCUAAAUACGAUUUAUCUCAAGG
Molecule: long non-coding RNA, 49175 nt
Filed under: Gossypium barbadense (sea-island cotton)
Lineage: Eukaryota; Viridiplantae; Streptophyta; Magnoliopsida; Malvales; Malvaceae
Description: long non-coding RNA (GBAR_LNC000763)
Source: RNAcentral